Molecule: long non-coding RNA, 75237 nt
Filed under: Phaseolus vulgaris (common bean)
Lineage: Eukaryota; Viridiplantae; Streptophyta; Magnoliopsida; Fabales; Fabaceae
Description: long non-coding RNA (PVUL_LNC002798)
Source: RNAcentral
UCUUCAGAUUCUCCCUUCUCCUCCUCCUCCCUCUCUUCCUCUCUCCGGCUUUCGCUUCCGACUCAGAUCACAGGGUAAGCUUUUCCGAUUCCAUCGCUCGAUCCAUUUUCCCCUCAUUUCCUAUUAGAUCUACCUUUCAAUUUCGCUUUCGUUUUUUCAAUUUCGUUUCAAUUUUACCGAUAUUCUGUUAGAUCUCAGCUGCUUCCUCACUCCUCUCCGUUAUGCAUCUCUAAUAAUAAUUCACAUUUUCGUUUUCGAUGUUAUUGGAUUGCGAUUUCAGCUCUUCGCUGUUCUCUUAUUAACUCAUGAAUCAUGAUAUGCGCUCUGUUUGGAAUUCAAAGUAUUUAGGAUUCUUUUCGCUUCAUUGGACUCCGCAUUAAGUGAAUGUCAGAAACCCGUGCUGUUGAUGUUAGGGAUGCUUUGGUUUAGUUUUCAUACAUAAUCCGAACGUGCAAGCUUUAUAAUUGUUGCUUAUUCUCUGUUGUCAAUUAGUAUUGCAAAUGGUGAUUUCUUUUUGUCUGUCUACACUUGAAAAUUGCAACACCGGUGGUUUUGUAGUUUUCUCAUGUGUUUGUUUGGUUUUACUCCGCGUCAUCCAAUGUCACGCUGAAAUAUCAACUAAGUUGACUUGUGGUAUAUGUUCGCGUGUUUGAUUUUGCAUUGGAGAAUGAUCCGGGUUCGGAAUUGAUUUUAAGUUGAAACAAAUUUAUGUAGCUUUUUCCUUCGGAUCUUACUGGUGAUUUUCUUUUAGAAUAAAAUAUCCAAACCCAAAUCACUCCACUUCAAAAUCAAAUCGAAGUAAAUUCUAAUAUGCAGAAUCAAUUUCAUUUAGAAUAAUUUGCAAAUGCUCACCCAAACACCAAGAGAGUAUUUUGUUCUGUCUAUUAGCAAUUUCUUUUAGUAUUUUACGGCUGAAAUGAUGGACAUACCUAUCCAAUGGGAAUGUCCGGUUGAAAACUGUUUAGUGCAUUGGAGCUUCUGCCUCUCCGGACGUUAGGAGCUCGGGUAUUGGAGUCUUCCCUAUGGCAGAAGCUUGUCAAUGGUGGAUCGGAUUUUGACCCGAAGUAUUUUUGGUUUGUCAUAUUUGAGCUUUGUAUUGAACUCAUAAUAGAUCAAUCAAUGGUUACUACAUAGAUUUUCUUCUAAAUGUCUUUAAGCAUUUGAAUCAUUGUAUCACUGAAUCCGUCCUCAUUUCCUUAAGCUAGGAGUAAAGAUAAGAUAUGGUUCUCUUAUUUUUUUUAAACUUCCAGCCAUCAAUGGCUAUCUGUUUUAAACAUAUAUGGCAUUUUAUUGCAGUAUCAACCGGAGGAGAAAGUUAUGCUUUGGGUGAACAAAGUUGGUCCUUACAACAAUCCACAAGAAACGUACAAUUAUUACAGUCUACCCUUUUGCCGUCCACCUGGUCAUCCUGCACACAAAUGGGGUGGUCUUGGUGAGGUCCUGGGUGGCAAUGAACUCAUUGAUAGCCAACUUGAGAUAAAGUUCCUAGGUAUGGAGGCUUCUUUCAUCCUAUUUAUUUCGUAAGACCUAUCAGUAGACAAACUGUCUCUAACAGUUUUUUUUUUUUCAAAUUACAAGGAAAUGUGGAAAAGACCACCUUUUGUCGUCUGCAGCUUAACGAAGCAAACGUUAAACAGUUCAAGGAUGCAAUAGAGAAUAAUUACUGGUUUGAAUUCUUCAUGGGUAUGUUGCCAUGUUUCUUUCUUUCACAUAUUACUAUAUAAUUGUUAGAAUGAAUGUACUUCUAUAUAUAGUCAAGAAAUUCUAAACACUAGCAACAAUUUUUUUGUAUUUGUCCAUUGCAUAAGCUAAAGCGGCUGGGUUAAAUAAUAUCUGGCACAAUAUACCCCUUCUCAACUUUUGUAACUGGUAAGGUACAGCCUUCAAACCAAUUUCAGGGAAAUUGCCACUUGAAGUUGCCAACAAUAGAUUUAGUUGUUAAAAGUUAAAACCAUACAGUCAACAUUGAGUUUGACAGUCUGAGAAGCCUAGCUCCAUGGUGGCAGGGAAGGGAAGCUUUCAGCUGGUGGUUUAGAUUAAGUUAUUGCAUGCAUGCUUUAGUCUCAGCUGAAAAUGAUUUAUCAUGAUUCCUUUAAAAUUGAAGAAUAGAUUUAACUUACAACUUUCUCUGUAACUGUUGUGGUAUUGUGAUGUUAUCAAAAUCCUUUCUCUAAUUCUAAAAGUAACGGGCAUUUAUAUUAAGUAUUUUUUCUUUUACAUUCAUGGAGAAUUAUUCAUGAAUCGUGACUAGUUACAACAUUUCAUUGUGUGGGAAUAUAAAUUAUAAUGUAUAAACAAUGAAGCAUAUAUUUUAUAUAUUAUACAUCGUGACACAUUGACUGAAUUUGGAAUGCUUGACCCUGGAAGAGCAGUGCCCUGCUCUAUUUUGAUCCUUCUAUAACUACAACCACAGUCUUUUAGGCUGGGUGUUAUGUGCAUACUUAUGGAAGCUGAAAGAAGGAUAAAGUUAAGAAUUCUUUUUCUGAAGUUGCUGUUUAAGCAUUCUUGACUGGACUGAUAUUAUAAUCUCCUGAAGUAAAAUCGGGUAAGGGAAUCUUGGUGUGGUACAGCUCCUCCUAUGAUAUUGUGGGGUCUAGGGAUGGUUUUCCCCUGCUCUGUAUAGGUUUAUAGUAGGCAGCUUUAACUUGCACUUGCGAAAGGCUGAUUCCCAUGACUUGAACAUGUAUCAAUGCCUCAACCAUAGCAAGGAGGCCCUUCCUAAAAAACUGUGUUUAAAUUUAUAAACUAAGUAUUUUUCAAUUGAGAAUGUUAGGCAAUUGAUAUUAUAUUGUCUUGAUAGGUUUAAUGGUGAGUGAGGAUUUGUUCCAUGGACUGCCCCAUAUUUGUUUUCGUUUUUUAUUCAUAAUUUUUAAAAUUUUCUGAAUAACUUACUCUUGGCAUUCUUUCUUUCCUUGGUUGUGCUAUUUGUUGGUCGUGGAUGUGCUAAACACAAGCUCAGAUGAUCUUCCAUUGUGGGGUAUGCCUACUUUCUCUCUAUUUAAUUUAUCAUUUCAUUGGUUGAUCAUUGUAUAAGAUUCUUUUAUUCAUGUUUAAGGGUAUGUUGGGGAGCUACAUCCUGAUAAGAACAGUGAUAAUGGCAAGCAUGUACUUUAUGCUCACAAGAACAUCAAUAUUCAAUACAAUAAAGACCAGGUCAGAAGUUAUUUAUGUAUCUUUGCUAUCUUUUGCUGCUUUGGGAUUUAUGGAGUGCAUACUUAGGUUCAUUUACUGCAGAUCAUUCAUGUUAAUCUAACUCAUGACAACCCAAGGCCUCUGGAAGUAGGAAAAACUUUGGACUUGACAUAUUCUGUGAAAUGGACUCCUACGAAUGUCACUUUUGCACGCCGAUUUGAUGUAUACUUGGACUAUCCAUUCUUUGAGCAUCAGGUGAAAAUAAUUGCUGCUAGCUUUGUAUUUAGAUUGCAGAUGUAUUAUUGUUGAUUGCCUGCUAUGUGUUAUGCGUAUCUAUCUUAGCCAUGUCACUGAGAGAACUUUGAUCCUUUUUCUUUCUGUAGAUUCACUGGUUCUCUAUUUUUAAUUCUUUUAUGAUGGUCAUCUUCCUUACUGGAUUGGUGUCAAUGAUAUUAAUGCGAACUUUGAGAAAUGACUAUGCAAAGUAUGCUCGGGAAGAUGAUGAUUUGGAAACUUUGGUAAGGCAUUCUUGAUGUUUGUCUUUUACUACUACUAUUUCUGUUAUUAUUUUUUAAAACAUGCAGAACAUAGAUUUGGCUUUCCUGGAAAAUUCAUUUCGGUUCUGAUUGUUAAUUCUUGUUCAACUCCCAAAUACUUCCAGGAAAGAGAUGUUAGUGAAGAAUCUGGGUGGAAACUCGUGCAUGGUGAUGUUUUUAGGCCUCCUCGCAGUUUGGUCAUUCUUUCAGCUGUUGUUGGUACAGGCGCCCAGCUUGCAUUGCUGGUUUUCCUCGUCAUCUUGUUGGCUAUUAUUGGGAUGUUGUAUGUUGGGUAAGUCCAUUAAACUGACUGUAGUAUUGAUCUGAACAAUGAUUUCGUUCACAAUAGUGUGAUUGGUUAAAAAAUGGAAUUAAAUGCUAUAUCAUAUAUGCAUAUAUUAUUUUCUGCUUAUACAUCUCUCCUGUAUAACUGGACAUUCCUUUAGUUUUCCCCCUGACUAUAAUUUUUGUCCACUUCAUCUCCCUUCAUUAUUAUGUAAGGUUCCUUCAAUGUGCAGACGAGGAGCCAUCGUCACUACCUUCAUUGUAUGCUAUGCUCUCACAUCUUUCAUUUCUGGUUAUGUGAGUGGGGGGAUGUACUCACGAAAUGGGGGUAAGGAUUUGCAGUAAAUUAUGCUACAUGUUCACUUCAUGCUUUUGUUGCCUCUUUCUCUCUCCAUGAACGAUUAUAACUGUGUCAUUUUCAGGUAAAAGUUGGAUUAAGUCCAUGAUCCUUACAGCAUCACUGUUCCCAUUCAUGUGCUUUGGAAUUGGUUUUAUUUUAAACACAGUUGCUAUAUUCUAUGGAUCACUAGCUGCAAUCCCCUUUGGUACUAUGGUUGUUGUCUUUGUUAUAUGGGCCUUUAUCUCUUUCCCUCUAGCACUUCUUGGUACAGUUGUUGGAAGAAACUGGAGUGGUGCUCCAAAUAAUCCAUGUCGUGUGAAGACCAUUCCUCGUCCCAUUCCUGAGAAAAAGUGGUACCUCACACCAUCUGUAGUUUCUCUGAUGGGAGGACUGCUUCCCUUUGGCAGCAUAUUCAUCGAGAUGUAUUUUGUAUUCACUUCCUUCUGGAAUUACAAGGUGAAUUAAAAUGCAAUUACUUGUUUGGGCAGUGAGCAUUUUAUUUUCCCUUCCUUGGUUUGGCAUAAUGUUAUUUCUUUAGAACAAUAUUUCUAUAUGUUGUCUUUCAAGUGGUAACACUUAAUAUUCCUGUGAUAGUUGAGUAAAUACAAGCUUUGUUUCUUACGCGUUUUUCCCCUUCCACUUUGACAAACAGGUGUACUAUGUAUAUGGUUUCAUGCUACUGGUUUUUCUGAUUCUUAUCAUUGUUACUGUUUGUGUGACAAUUGUGGGGACAUACUUUUUGUUAAACGCUGAGAACUACCACUGGCAAUGGACCUCUUUCUUUUCAGCUGCCUCAACAGCUGUUUACGUGUAUUUGUACUCAGUAUACUACUACUUUGUGAAGACGAAGAUGUCAGGCUUCUUCCAAACCAGCUUUUAUUUUGGAUACACUUUGAUGUUUUGUCUUGGACUGGGAAUUCUCUGUGGUAAGUCUCCAGUUUAAUUGUAAUUUAUGUUUGGAUUGUGUGUUCACUCUUUGGAAACUAGAUAGCUUGGUUAUGUUCUGAAUACCUCUUAUUAUAUAGAUAUAAAAGCUAGUGUGUUCUUAUCGCCUGAGCUGGAUUAAAUUUUUUUCUCCAAAUGUGCAGGAGCUGUAGGUUAUCUUGGUUCGAAUUUAUUUGUGAGGAGGAUCUACAGAAACAUCAAGUGUGACUAAGGGUCCUAGAAGUCUGAGACCAGAGCACUUCCACAUGUUUGUUGCUAGACACAAUAAAUUUCUUCGAGGAGGUCUCUGGUCAUGUGUGGGGACCAAGCAGUGUUUACAGGUAGUAAGUAUCACAGGGUUGAGGAUGGGAUGUAUUCUUUCUCUAUAUUAGGGGAUGUAUUCUUUCUCUAUGGUAGGGAAGCCCUGAGAUUUUUUUCCCUGACUGUGAUUGAAAGCCUUGAUUAGUAGAAUGCAGGGAUUGGUCUUUAUAAUUUAGAUAGUUAGCAAAAUAUCAGACUCGUUGCUACUUCUUUUCGUCCUUCUAUAAAUAGGUGCCAUAUUGACGGACUGAUGUCGGAUUCCCCUACACGGUUUAGCUAUUGUACGUAGAGGGGAUGAAGUCACGGAAAUGAAUUUUGUGCUUCUGAAUUUUGUAUCAAAUAUGAAUAUCCUUUCUAACUAUUUCCUGCCUCCACAUUUCUCCUUCUUUGGCUUUUAAAUCAUUGACGUUUUCCCCCUCUCCAAUCCAAUGCUUGUUAGGCUGCAUACAUUUCUGCCUCUAUCACCAUGUUAACCAUGAAUAAAUGAGAUCAACAUUCUGUUCAGCAGCUGCAUACUCGCUUUGUUUUACUAAUUUUCUGUUUCUUUUAGAACUUGUGGUUGUAAAAUGCAGCACAGCAAGGGUAAAAAUAUUCAGUGCGACUGGAGUUUCAAAAUUGAGUAUGAAUGAAAUUGAUUUUGGAUUGAAAUUAUGUGUCUUUAGAUAUUUAAUUUUAAAAAUAAGUUAGUAGUAAAAAAUUAAUAUAUAUAUAUAUAUAUAUUUAUCCAAUGGAAAAGUUAUUUAAAGUUGUUUUCAACUCAAUGUGGUUUCACCUAAUUUAGCGUGAAUUAGAAAAUACUCGAUGGCUUGUGUAUUCAAAUUCAAAUGUGUUAGAUUUCUCUCUCUUUCUAAAUACAAAUUUUAAUAGUUAUAUGGAAAAGAGAAUUUUAAGUUUAAAUCAAUUUUAUAAAAUCUAUCGGUGAGGUUUGCAAUCACUCAUAUACUAUGAAAUGUUCUAAUUUAUAGUUGAGAUGAGAUCUCCGAGAUAUUCUCCUUACGUCGAGAGUUGAGGUUUGCAAUCACUCAUAUACUAUGAAAUGUUCUAAUUUAUAGUUGAGAUGAGAUCUCCGAGAUAUUCUCCUUACGUCGAGAGUGACAACUCGUGGUCCAACAAACUUUUGUUAUAAUAGAUUCAAAAUGAACAAACUUUUGUUAUAAUAGAUUCAAAAUGAUUUUGAUACCAUAUUAAGAAGUAAAUUUUUAAGUAUAAUUCAAUUUUAUAAAAUUAACAUAUGAAGUGAGAUUUACACCCACUUUUUUUUUGUUUUGCACUUUUUAUAUACUAUGAAAUGUUUUAAUAUUUAGGAUGUGAGAUGUCUAAGCAUAAUAGCCAACAUUAGUGGUUAAGUAGCAUUGCAAGCAAUUUUGUGGUCAUUCCUUGGCCCGUAAAAGUGAACAUAAAGCAAAACAUUCAUUGAAAAGAUAGAAAAGUAUAAUUUGUGAGGUGAGGAUAAUGGCAACUACCAUCGUCAACAACGAGUGGUGGUGAUAAAGAUAAGAUAGAUUGAGGCAUGAAACAGAGCCACGUGGCCGAUAGGUAGCAUAUCAGCUAACGUUGGUGCUCGUUGCAGCCACACUAUUUCCACAAGCUCUCUCCUUCUUUCUUUUUAUCAUCAAGAACAAGCACCAUCACAAGUUCCUAAACUAGCCUUCUACUCAUCAACUCAACCAAGGACAUGGCAUCCAUCAUACCCGCUUCCUGUGGCUCUGUGUUGAACACCUCCUUCCUCAGGAAGCAGCCUCUGAACCACACAAGCCUCAAGGCAUUCUCCAACGCCAACGCCGUCUUUGGUGUGAAAGGAGGACGUGGAGGCCGUGUGACAGCCAUGGCGAGCUACAAGGUGAAGCUUGUGACCCCAAGUGGAGAGCAAGAGUUCAGUUGCCCAGAUGAUGCAUACAUUCUUGAUGCUGCAGAGGAAGAAGGCAUUGACCUUCCUUACUCAUGCAGGGCUGGUUCUUGCUCUUCAUGUGCUGGCAAAGUUGUGGGUGGCCAAGUGGACCAGUCUGAUGGUAACUUCCUUGAUGACGACCAAAUUGAGCAAGGCUUUGUUCUCACCUGCGUUGCUUAUCCCACUUCUGAUGUUGUUAUUGUCACUCACAAGGAGGAGGAGCUCGUUGCUUAAAUCUUGUCAUCACUUUCCUUUCCCACUUCUGAUGAUGUAUGCUGCUUUUUCUUUUUAUGUCUUGUGCCAUUUCUCAGGAUAUACACACCCAUUAUUAUUAUUAUGCAGUAAUUGAUUACUUCACCUGUAGCAGCAGCUGAACUUGUUUUUGUCACUAUAAUAAUCUUUUCUUUACAGUUUUUGCACUCCUUUCCUCUUUCCUCGGCUUCAAUAAUUGAUUACCCUUUUAUGCAUUACAUAUAUACUAUCUAAAUUUGUGUGCUUUCUGCAUUGAUUUUCAUCCUUCUGUCACAUUGGAGUUAACAAUGAUGAGGGUAACUUGCAUCUUACCAAGAAAUAUUGAUGUUAGACUCAAAAAAAACCCACACAAGACUAAAAAAAAACACUAAAUGAUAAUUAGAACAAGUUUUUAGUUUCUUUUUAGUAUUUGUGUGAGUUUUUUUUUUUGAGAGGUUAACAUCAAUCAACGACGGUGGCUUCUUGUUCUUAACUUGGUACUGAAGAUGGUGUUAAUGUCCUGAGACUAAUUGUAUGGCCAACUUUUUUUUACUUUUGUAUCACUUAAAAGAGAUAACAUAUUUAAUUGUAUCUACAGUACAAGGUACAUUUUUCAUUCUCAACUACUUUGUGUCGGUGCCAAAACAUUGAUUUAAGAAUGAUUUCUAUAUCUAUGCCAUGAAGAGUAGUAAAACUUCAAAUAUGAAACAUAAAUGGAUGAUGUCUUCUGUAGCACAUACUUAUGCUUCUCUCCUUCGCCAUUGAAGGACAGUUUUGGGGGAGAGUGAUUGUAUUCGUCUGUAAGUCUUGAGUCAAUAUUUAACAAAGAAAUUGAGAUGAAAAUUCUGGCAAUGCUAAAAUAUCUGUUGGGUAUGGAUUCAAACCUUAAUUAGGAGCAUUGCUUCUGUGAGAAUUCUGCUGUGAACAUGGAGAUGUUACAAAAUUUAUGACCACAAAUUGGAGCUUGUCAUUCUAUCCUUCUUAACAUUUCAAAGGGUGUGGUUGACAAUGCUAUGAUUCAAUGUUUCGAUAUGGUUAUGGAUUACUUCCAAGUCAUACUCUGUUUUUUUCUCUUAUUCAGACUGGUGUCUUGACUCUUUGGUUUGUAUGAGAUUGAUUAAUUGAUGAAUUACUAUGUUGAGGUUUGUCAUGUGUUCUAUGAGUUGUUAGUUGGAGGUUUUUUGGUGUCUUGUUUUGAGAAAGGUUAAGGUUUAUUUUUCUUUAUAAAGAUUGAACUAUCCUGAAAUAGAGAUGUUAAUGUUUAUUUUUCUGUAUAAAAGUUGAACCAUUUGAAUAGUUCAUAUUUAUUUUCUUGUCGAUAAAAAAAAAUAGCAGUUAAAUACUAUACCAAAGUUUUACACAUGAAUAUACACCAAUAAAAAAAAUAAACAGUUUUUCAUUGGUCAAUUAACAAAUUAAAUAAUUAUAAAAAACAAAGGACUGCGUAAAAUGAAAUUCAACCAUGCAAUUCUGAGUGGAAGUUUUGACUGAAUAAUUCGAAAAAACUAGCAUUUUUCAAUUUAUAACCACGGUUGCAUCUCAUGUAAUAGUAAUAUUCAUAAGCAAAAGAAAUAGAAGUGCAUAACCUACUCUCUGAGAGGGCCUGGAGAGGGUGCUCUUGGAACAAAGUUUUGUAACUAUUGAAGAGCCAUUGAAAUAUGCUACUGUUCUGACCUCAAGUCAGUUGGACAGCAUCGCUAGGGUCAAUCACCGCAUCCGAGGUAUUGUCCGCUUUGAAGGUUGGUGCUCCGUCACGGUUUUGUCCUUAAAAGAUGUCUCAAAGGGUGAAGGGAGGAGGGAGUAUAUAAACUGCCCUUGACCUCGAUUCCUGAGCGAUGUAAGAUUGUAUUGGCAGCCUCGAUUGUGAAGAAUCUGUGGAGAUAACAUAGGCACACAGAAUGAAACAUGGUACAAAAUGUUUAGAUGUUCUUUUUAAGAGGAGAUCUAGUCACAACAAUGAUGGUAAAUGUUGAGUUCAUUAAAUAUAUAACAGUUUUGCAAAGAAAAGAAGGUAGCAUGUGAAGUGAAGAAGAUGAAGAAUGUUACAAAAAUGUAUGGUGAAGGGAAGAUGAAUAGACUUGGUAGCAUUCAACCUCCACAUCUUAUUGCACUUUCAAUGCAUUCAAUUACUUCCUCUACCAUAAAUCCAAUUUCAGUAUAAAAAGAUGAAAAUGUUUUUAGAUAAAAUGAAGGUAAUUAUAAAAAUACAUUUAAGAUUUACUUUUUUGGACAAAUAUCUGGAAUGAAAUUUUGAUUUUAUUUUCGAAUUUUUAUUUCUAGAACACAAUAACCUCUUCUAGAUCUAUUUUUUAAAAUAUAUUGUUUUCAAUUCUAGAUUUUUAUUUCGAGAAUGAAGGACAUUUUAAAAAAUUUAAAAUUGUGUAGGGUGCAAAUUUAAAAUGAUUGAGUGUAUGAAGAAUUUGUCUUUAUCAUAGUUCCCACUAUGUUAACCAACACAAUUGCUUGCUGAAAAUUUUCCUCACUUCGUUUUCUUUACAUUUCGACCUUAUGCAGCCUCAAACGUUAAUUUCAAAAGAAAAAUGAUAGUUUGACAACUCUUAAAGUUGUAUACAACUCUUGAUGUGAUAGGUUUAGAAAUAAAUAUAUAUAAUAAAGGAUAAAUUUAUAAUUAAAUGAUAUAAAAAAGUAUUAAAAAUAAUAGUAUUGGAAGUUGUAAUGUGGUUGUAUAAAAAUUUGAAGUUGUUAAUGUAUCAUUACCCAUUUCAAGAAUACAACUUAAACUCAAAAUUACAAAUAAUGGCAUUACAUUAUGCACCCCAUAGUUUCCCAUAAUUUGAAGGUGCAACCAUGGGCAAGAUAAAAAGACAAAAGUAUCCCUACUUUGGAUUUAUAAAAUGCAUAUUAUACACUCUACAAUUCGAAAUGCAUUUUCAAAUUUGGAAAUAUAUUUCUGAAUUUUGCAUUGUUGAAUGUAUUUUUAGAUUCAAAAAUAUAUUUUUGAUAAUUCAAAAUGCAUAUUUUAUUUUGUAUUAUGAAAUACAUUAAUACUAAAAAUAAGGGAAGUUUGAAAAUUUAAAAUCUAUGGAGGUGUAUGCUAAAAUUAUGGGUUAGCCUACAAAUAAUGGGCCAUUGGAUCCGGGUUGCUUCUUCCUGCACCUCCAUACCUUCUUCUCUCACCUCCAUAGAUUUUCGUAUUUCCAAAACUGCUCUUCUGUAAUAUUUCGGAUUACAUAAUUCGGAAGUUAUUUUUCAAAUUUGUAAUUAGCUUUCGGAUUAUAUAAUCUGAAAGUCUUUUUUCAGAUGCAUGAUUACUUUCCGGAUUACAUAAUCUGGAAGUUUUUUUUAACUUCUGGAUUAUGUAAUCCAGAAGUCUUUUUUCAAAUGUGUUUCCGGAUUACAUAAUCCAGAAGUUAUUUUAUGGGGGUGGCACAAGAAGGAUAAAAAUGUAUUUUUCAUGUUGUGUAUGGAGGUGCCAGAAGAAGAUAUGGAGGUGCAGGAAGAAACAGUCUUGGAUCCGAGUCAAACUUUUUAUCUAUACUUUAUUAUAAGGGCUUUUUCUUCUUACACUUCUUAAUUAAUAAUUGCAUCUCAUACUAUGACAAAAAGGCCAAAAUACCCUCCAUUGCUCCACCAUGUCGUCGUCGUUGCAGCUCUAUCUACACUUCCAUGACGAGUUUUUAAUAUCUUUUAGAUUAAAAAUAAUAUAUGAUUUAUAUUCAUUACCACUUGCAUUAAUUUAUAUGUAAGAUUAAUGUUAACUUAAAUAAAUAUUAAAAAGAUAUUAUAUUAAUAUUAAUAAUUACGAAAUUUAAAAAUUAGAACGUAUUUAAUAUUAUUAGUGUUGGUUAAGUUAACUUUAAUGUCUUUCUUUAAAAUAUUAUUAUUACUAAAAAAAUAUAUUUAAUAUUAUUAGAGUCGAUCUUAAUAUUUUUUUAACAUAUUUUUCAUUACUAAAAUAUAUUUGAUAUUAUUAUAGUCGGUUAUCUUUAUUUUAGUAUUAAAAUAUAUUUAGUAUUAUUAGUAAAUUGUCUGUGUUUACCAAGUAUUAACAAAAGUAUGAAAUAUAAAAAAAAAAUGCGAUAUAUAAUUAAAAGAAUAUUUACAGGUUUUUAUUGUUAAUUAAAAAUCAAAACCUUCUUAAAUCACUUCCCAACAAGAGAUCUUACAAAGGACUGUUUCUUCCUGCACCUCCAUGCCUUCUUCUCUCACCUCCAUAUAUUUUCAAAUUUCCAAAAAUGCCCUUCUAUACUAUUUUGAAUUACGUAAUCCGGAAGUCAUUUUUUAAAUUUGUAAUUAGUUUCUGGAUUACAUAAUCUAGAAGUCUUUUUUCAUAUGCAUGAUUAAUUUUCGAAUUACAUAAUCCGAAAGUCUUAUUUAGCUUCCAGAUUAUAUAAUCUGGAAGUUUUUUUUCAAAUGAAUUUCUGGAUUACAUAAUCCGAAAACUACUAUAUGGGGGUGACAUAAGAAGAAUAAAAAUAUAUUUUCAUGUUAUGUAUGGAAGUGGCAGAAGAAAAGAAGAUAUGGAGGUGAGAAACAGUCCUUACAAAGACUUUCAACACACUCUAUUCCAAUUACAUAUGCACCGUACACGUGGCGCUACUUUCACAACAGUCACAGAUGAAUGUGUAAGAAAUAUCUUGCACAGGAUAAAUCUUAACCACUCAUCAUAGUCUCCUCUUAUUAAAACGUGUUACAUGUGUUUUUAUUAAGGAAAAUGAUUGCUUAACACUCACUUCAUCUAAUCCCACUAAAUAUUAAUAUUUUAAUUUUUUUAAUUUUUUAAUUUUAAUUUUUUUUAACAUUUUAUAUUUUUAUUAAAGACAUUCCUUUAUUUUUAUAAUUUAUUUUAUUAUAAAUAUUAAUAUUUUAUUGCAGUGGAAAUUGGAGUAAGGUGUCUACGAAUAAUACGGAGACACGUGGCAGAUAAGGUUGUACGUGACUUCACAUCAUUUUGUGAUCAGACAAUGCUAGUUCAAAAAGCUCCUUGGUUUGGCUUAUCUAUAAAACAGAAGAAGAAGAAGAAGAAGCAGCAGAAGAAGAAGAAGAAGAAGAAGAAGAGGAGGAGAAUGGCGUGUAUGACAGUAGCUAUGUGUGGCCCUGCCUUGAACACCUCCUUCCUUAGGAGACAUGCAGUGAGUCUGAAUGCAUUCCCCAAGGCCAAUGCAGUGUUUGGUGUGAAAGGAGGAGGUGGAGGUCGUGUCACUGCCAUGGCUAAACACAAGGUGAAGCUUAUCACCCCAGAGGGUGAAAAAACCUUUGUCUGCUCAGAUGAAACCUUCAUUCUUGAUGCUGCAGAAGAAGUAGGCCUUGACCUUCCCUACUCAUGCAGGGCUGGUGCCUGCUCUUCCUGUCUUGGCAAAGUUGUGAAUGGCCAAGUGGACCAGUCAGAGGGUAGCUACCUAGAUGACGAUCAAAUCGAUCAAGGAUAUGUUCUUACAUGUAUUGCUUACCCCACCUCUGAUGUUGUUAUCCAGACCCACAAGGAGGACGAACUCGUUGGAUAAAUCUCCCUUUCCCACCAUUUUCUUAGAAUAUGCUUCUUUUGUUUCAAAUGUGAUGGAGGAGGAAGAUUGUUAUUGCAUGAUCAAGGUAUUUUAGUUUUGUUUUAUGCUGUUAGUUAGACUAUAGAGAAUGAACUCCACCUUCAGAAUCUCAUCAAACUUUUUAUUAUGUGUUGGUUAUUGGUUCAGGGAAUUUGUAGUCACUGUAGUAAUGUUUUCCUUGUUGGUUGAGUUAAGAACUCUGAUGUUAGUUGCUUGUUCUGAAUUCAUGCUGAUCUUAAUGGUGACUUUGAUUCUUAUCUGCACCAUUUUAGAUCUUUUGGGUUGUUGGAAGCUAAGAGUCAUGCACAAUGGAGGGUCUAACUACACCUAAAAUUCAUAUAAGAUUAGAAAAUAAGUUAGUUUACAAACUCAAAUUCUACUCUGAUUCUGAGAAGAGUUUCUGAGGCAUUAUAUGAUAUAAAACAUUACAAUUGAUUUCUCUGUCUGAAUAAAAGAAAUUAUUUGAUAGUAAACAAAUAGGAUUAAACUGUAUUAACUUUAAGUUUAAUUCAACUUCAUAAAAUCGAUUUAUGAGGUGAGAUUUUAUAAGGUGAGGUAUCGAAAAUGAUUAUGAUACUAUAUUAAAGAGUGGACAUUAAAGAGCGAACUUCAAGCUUAACUCAACUUUUCGCUUCCACUUAUAAAGAAUGAAAUGUACUGUUGUUGGAGAUCUCUACUUGAAGAUGCUGGCUUAUGGUUUGAAGCCAUUUCUCUGAUGUAGUUAAAGAAAUUUAGUAUAAGGUAAUAAGAUAGAAGAAGAAAGCUAGGAUUGUCACACUUCAUUCAUUCAUCAAACACAGGAGAUGGAAAUGAGUUUUUAGAUUGAGUUGUCUCCUUUUAAGAAAGAUGUUUUCAUUUUGCAGUAAAAAUGUCCCACAAAUUUUUCAAGAAUUUUACACAAGGACUACUGUGUGAUCAAUACAAAGAAACAGUUUUUAUGGGCUAAUUACUGAAUCAAACAUGGUACAAAAUGUUUAGAUGUUCUUUUUAAGAGGAGAUCUAGUGGCAACAAUGAUGGUGAAUAUUGAGUUCAUUAAAUAUAUAACAGUUUUGCAAAGAAAAGAAAGUAGCAUGUGAAGUGAAGAAGAUGAAUGCUACAUAAAUGUAUGGUGAAGGGAAAGAUGAAUAGGCUUGGUAGCAUUCAACCUCCACAUGUUAUUGCACUUUAUUGGAUGAAUCUUUUGCAUUCAAUCCAUUAAUUGCAGGCAAUUACUUCCUCCAACUAAUUUCAGUAUGAAAAGACGAAAAUAUUCUUAGAUAAAAUGAAGGUAUAUAUAAAAAUACAUUUCGGAUUCACUUUUUUAGAAAGAACAAAUUUUUUGUAUUAGGGAUUUUUUUUAUCUGUAACGAAAUUUUGAUUUUAUAUUUUCGGAUUUUAUUUUUGGAGCACAAUAAUCUUUUCUGGAUUAUUUUUUCAGAAUACAUCGUUUUUAAUUCUGGAAUUUUAUUUUCAGAACAAAGGAUAUUUUCAAAAUUUUAAAUUUGUAUAGGGUAUAAGUUAAAAAUGAUUGAGUGUAUGAAGAAUUGGGCUUAAUUGUAUCACAGUUCCCACUAUGUUAACCAACACAAUUGCUUGCUGAAAAUUGUAUCAUAGUUUGAACACAAUUCACAAUUCCAAAUCCUAAAUCCUAAACCAACACAAUUCACAAUUCUAAAUGUAUUUUCAAAUUUGGAAAUAUAUUCUGAAUUAUACAAAAUAAAAUAAAAUAGAUUAAUGUAUUAUGAAUUAUGCAAUUGAAUGUAUUUCUAGAUUCAAAAAUAUAUUUUAAGAAUUCAAAAUGCAUAUUUUAUUUGGUAUUAUGAAAUACAUUCUAGAAUACUAAAAAUAAACAUCCUAAACUAUGGAGGUGCAGGCUAAAAUUACGGGUUAGCCUAUAAAUAAAUAAUGGGCCAUUGGAUCCAAGUCAAAAUUUUAUUUAUACUUUAUUAUAAGGGCUUUUUCUUCUUACACUUCUUAAUUAAUAAUUGCAUCCCAUACUAAGACAAAAAAGGGAGAUAAUUAUUUCAGAAAACUCGUCAUGAAAAUUAUUAUAUAUGUUUUCGAAAUCUUUGUUCCAUAAAUCCUGUUACAGGAUGUUCGGGAAAGUUUAUUUUUGGAAAAAGUUUAUUCCAAAAUACAUUUUAUAUACUAUUAUGAAUGUGAAUAUUUAUUGUUUAAAUCAUAAGGUUUUAGAUUAAAAAUAAUAUAUGAUUUAUAUUCAUUAUUACUUGCAUUAAUUUAUAUGUAAGAUUAAUAUUAACUUAAACAAAUAUUAAAAAUAUAUUAUAUUAACAUUAGGGAUUACGAAAUUUAAAAAUUAAAACAUAUUUAAUAUUAUUAUAAUUGGUUAAGUUAACUUUAAUAUUUUUCUUUAAAAUAUUAUUAUUAUUAAAAAUAUAUUUGAUAUUAUUAUAGUCGGGUCAAGUAUAAUAUCUUUAUUUUAGUAUUAAAAUAUAUUUAAUAUUAUUAGUAAAUUGUUUGUGUUUAACAAGUAUUAAAAAAAAUAUAAAAUAUAAAAAAAUGCGAUAUUAAAUAACGUGUUACAGACGUAUUACACACCGAUACUCUCGUAGGAUGUCUCUCAUUCAAGUGUCAAAUUCAAAAAAUAUUUGUUGAAUUUCUAACAAUUCUAGCAUGAUUUUAACACAAUUUUUUUAAAAAUAUAAUUUUUUAAAAAUUUAAACUUAUUAUAUAAAUUUUUAUUGUAAUUAUAAAAAUAAAAACCAAAUACUUUUGAAUGAGCUAUGAAAAAAACAUGUUUUUUUAAAAUAAAAAUAAAAAUAAUUGUACAUAUAAAUAUUUAUUAAUAAAUAGGUUAUCGAGGUUUCAUUCUUAGAUGGUAACACCUUAAAUAUGUUGCAAAUAAUGAAAUUUGACAAGUUAUAAUUUUGUAAAUAAGAAAUAAAUUAAAAAAGAAAAUUAAAUUUAUAAUAAAUCUUACACACACAAAAAAUAGUGAAUAUAAUGAGAGAUAGAAUGAUGCCACGUGGCAGAUAGGGUUGCAUGUGGCCUUACCUCAUGCACGUUAUAAGCACACUAUUUCUUCAAGCUCAUGCUCCCAUUUGUUAUCCAUCACCAACAACAACAACAACAAGCUUGCAGUGACCAAUGGCUUCGAUCACACCCGCUUCCUGUGGCUCUGUGUUGAACACCUCCUUCCUCAGGAAGCAGCCUCUGAACCACACAAGCCUCAAGGCAUUCUCCAAUGCUAAUGCUGUCUUUGGUGUGAAAGGAGGACGUGGAGGUCGUGUGACAGCCAUGGCCAGCUACAAGGUGAAGCUUGUGACCCCAAGUGGAGAGCAAGAGUUCAGUUGCCCAGAUGAUGCAUACAUUCUUGAUGCUGCAGAGGAAGAAGGCAUUGACCUUCCUUACUCAUGCAGGGCUGGUUCUUGCUCUUCAUGUGCUGGCAAAGUUGUGGGUGGCCAAGUGGACCAGUCUGAUGGUAACUUCCUUGAUGACGACCAAAUUGAACAAGGCUUUGUUCUCACCUGUGUUGCUUAUCCCACUUCUGAUGUUGUUAUUGUCACCCACAAGGAGGAGGAGCUCGUUGCUUAAAUCUUAUCAUCACUUUUGUUAUUAACAUUCUAUUCUUCUGGUUUUUCUUUGACGAGUGUAAGAAAUUUAUACGUUUGUGUUAGCUGUAUAUGUGGUUCUGUUGGAUUCCUCGUAUAUGUUUUUUAUGUUUUUUGGACUUAUAGUUUCUCUUACUUUGCGUAAGAGAUUAUGAGUCUUGUUAGGAUUGGAAAGUGCAACAAUUGAAGUUUGUUUUUAUAUCUUAGUGCCAUUUUUCAGGAUAUAAACGUGUGUUGUGCUUGUUCAUGAACAACUUAUUCUGCAUUAACUCGUUAAUUACUUCACCUCUCUGGUGAUAUGUAUCAAAUAUUUAUAAAAAUACACUGGUUUUUGUCAUGCACAUUAGUGAAUUAUACUAAUAUUUCGAGCAGUUAGAGUUCCGAUAUGCUAAAAUUUGUUAACCUUCAUAUAUAUUAAAAAGAUAGAUGAUAUAUCUAAUAUUGUAUCUGAAUGAUUUAAAUGUCUAUGCUCAUUUAAGAAUGAUUUGUACAUCUAUGCUCUAUGAAGUUCCAACUAGUUCUGAAGUAAAAUAAAACACUAAUGAAUCAUGUUUUCUGAAACAAAUCAAGAAGAGUGAUAGCUUUUGCUUUGAUCUUCAACGUUGUGGGGAAUUAGUAUAUACAGAUUCAGACAAAUAUUCAGCUACCUUGAAUGUUUUGCCUUGUUGGGGGUCUCCAACUUCAGCUGUUCUACUGAACUCACUGUUAUCUGAUUCAAAGACCCUAAAGAAGAGGAUCGAGUUAGAGUCCCAGAUGCUACUGUCAUUUCGUCCCUCUCAUCAAUUGUUGAUUCCAGGGAGCAUACUGAUCUUGCAGUGUGUGAAUGCAACGAAUCAUGCUUAGACUUGUGUUUCACUCUUUUACACCAACUAUGCAGAGACUCUCUAACACUCUCUGUCACCAAGGCCUUCUUGCAUUUCGAUCCCAUCUGAGGCCAAUCAUCAAAUAAAUUUACUUUCAUCACGUUUUCGUUAGAACACUUUGUUAAGAACUUAACAAUGAGCAUUAAGCCAACCUGAGAAACUAUUAUGCUCAGGGGCACUGUCAUGUAGCUACACCAGAACUGAACAAUAGCACUGCAAGUUUCAAAAUAACGAAAUGUGAGUCUUCCUGGUGGAAAAAUCGAACUAAUUCUCUCUCAGGUGUAGAUACAAAAUUGACUCUUGCGAAAGCAAUAAGCAAAUAAAAGAAAAAUAGAAAAAUAGAAAUGAGAGAAUAGAUAUCGAAAUCCUAGUCAGAUGUUAGAGAGAAAUUAGAUGAGAUUGAAUGUUAUCCUCACUGAGAAAAAUAAAUAUUGUAAUUCUAGUUUUAUAGUGAAAAUAUUUUCUAGAUUAGAUAUAGUAGAUUUUACUUCUUAAGUGGAGGAAGUUUUCUUAAGUUAAAAGAUUGGAGUAGUGUAAAAUCCAGAAAGUUGGUAAAGAAAGUAGAACAAAAAAAUCUUGAAAGAGAGACGACACCAACCCAGAUGCCAACCGAAUGAUGAUCAUGUAAUGAUUUCUCAUGAAGCACGAUUGUUCUUGGAAUCCCCACUACAAAAACAGAAAUUGAAGAUAAUUCAUUGAACAAAAGCAAGUCAUAAGUCACGUAUACAAUCUUGAAAAACUGAAGUCUUACCAAUGUCCAAAUAAACGUUGCCAUUUCAAAUGCAUUCUGCAUGAACAGUGGAGAAAAUAAGAACAGAAAACACAACCAUGCAGCAUGACCUACUUACAAAUAAAGUGUUAUCGAUUCUUACCUGAAAUAUGACAAACUGUAUCAGCCAUAACAGUAUAUCUGGUUUUUUAAACCAGAAUAGAUCAUCGCGUGGCUUUACUUGUGUCCUAGGAAACGGACCUGUCUGCUCCAUAAUUUCAAGUGCUAAGGUGGAUACAACAUGUUGAAGCUUUGCCCCUAUCAACAUCACAAGCUUUUACGUGUAGAGAAAUCAGACCUUGAUGGAAAUAACUUUCAAUGGACUUUUUCAUUUUGAUUUGUUAAAACAACAAAUUAGAAUAUACAUACAAUUGCAGGGAUAAAUGAUAGCCAGAAGUAUAUAUUCAGACCUGCAAAUUUAGAAACUUAAAUAUCUGAAGAAAUUAAUUUUAAAGACACUAACAAUAUACUAUGAUUCUGAAGAGAAGCUACCGUGGAUGUUCACGAAGAUGCACACUAUGGCAUAAAUCCAAAGCAGCCAGCUGCAAAAUUGAAAAAAAAGGGUUAUUCAGCUGUUAGUUUUCUCAUUGUUUUUCUUAGUAGAAGUCUAAUGUUGAUUAGAAAAAACAUUUGUAUUGGAAACUUCAUUUCCCAUCACUCAAUUCCCUAUGCUAAUCAUGAUUCACGAGCAUGCUAUGUUAGUUAAUUAAGCAACUUACAGUUAAUAACUUGCAUCGGUUUUCAGAAACACCAGUUAAAAGAAGAAAUCCAUUUCAAAAUGGUUCUUACCUUAUUCCUAGAAUGCCAUGAAAUUCAUCUUCCAUGCUUCGAACCAUAUAUUGAUGGAAAUUAUAAGAUAACGGCAAAUUGUGUUCCUGUAAAUUUGUGAAUACGAAAAUUACUUCGAUUUAGAAGAAUCAAAUAAAAGAUUAGGCAAUCAGGGAACAAUAGUGGACCAACAAGUCUCCAGCAUGCAUUAUUUUAUCCAACAUCCUUCAACAGAUAAGAAACUUACAGUGAUGAAACCUAAACGUAGUGCAAGGUAAUCUGAUUUUCGUAUAGAGCUCCUAAACUGACGUAGGAAACAGAGCUGCAAGAUCAGAUCACAAACAUUAAUCCAUUAUAUUCAAACUGUGCACAAGGAUGACACCAAAAACAUUUAGAAACUAGGAGUUGCUAGAAAGAUGUUUAGAUGGGUGAGUUGCUAGAGAAAUUAUGCAUCAAAAGGCCAUCCCAGUAAAAGCAGCACACAAAUAAUUAAGGAUGUGCCAUUUAUGUUGAAAUGUUACCAUCCAGUUUAGGAUUGGACUCCUGCUCCAUGGAUGAGAAGUGCGAUGGAAAAUAAAUGUUGUCUGUCGCUUCAUCAACUUGAUUUUCUUUGCUGUUUAACAAAAAUUAAUAAAAAGUUUAGGACAUAGAUUAAUCUGUUCUAUUCAAUGCAGAAGUGUUUGUCAGAUUUCAUUCAUGAUAUGAUGUCACAUUUUAAGACCAAUCGUUAUGAAGUAACCAUUCUAUGCCAUUUACCUUGCUGGUUUCCAUCACUUGGCAUCCUAGCCUGAUUUUCCCAUCUGCGCCAACUAUAGAUCUACAAACACUUGCAACAAAGAUAAAAUAAAUGAUAUGAACCAGACUACCAAACAUAGAAAACAACAGCAAUGAAGACAACUCCAAGUGAUCGAUUGGAACAAGGAUCCCUUAAACAAAGACACUAAUUUAACCAUUGGCAUUACUGGUUAGAAGAGCAUGAUGUUGCUAAAACACCUCUGGGGUUGAUGUUGUACAUGUAGUAAACUGAAAAUUAUGAUGACUUACCUUACUCAUUGCCAAACCAACUGCCAGACAACUAUACAAAACAUGAGUGAUUCCGAGAACAAAUAAGAACCGGUGCAGCUGCUCAAGACCUUCAUAUGAAACAAAAGGUUCAUGACCCUGCAUUCAUGUAUUAGUAUUUUUGGAAGGGCUAUGCAGUAUUGCAAAGAAACAAAGAUUUAAUAUUAAGUAUGACAUUGACACUAUAUGCAAGAUAUUUAGUGGCUAACAUUAUACUCACUGCAGUGAAGAAAGCAAAGCUUAAAUGUAGUUGUAAUUAGUGUAUGUUACCUCUCCACAUUGGUUGAAUGCUCCAGUAAUACUAGUUUCAUCAGGGAUAGAUGAUGAUGAGCUUUCCAGCAUGAUAUUCUCAUUUAUGUCCACGUCUUGCUCAGAACAAAUAUAAAAUCGACUGCUAAAAAGUGACGAAGUCACACAAAUUUCAGAGAUCCAUCUUGCACUUUGUGCCAACAGCAAAGAGAUAAGUCCAAGCAACAUCAGCUCUAUCACAAAAGAAAAAACAGAUACUAAUCUUUAAGUCUAAGUCAAUCUCGUAAAACUGGUUUAUAAGAUAGGUUUACACCCAAAUAUAUAAUAUAAAAUAUUCUAAUCUCCGGUUAAUAUGACAUUUACAACAGUAACUCAAGAACAUAAGGCAUAAUGGAAAUGUGAAAUAAUACUCAGUGUCACUACCUUCCUUGAGUUUCUCCAGUGAAGCAAAAAGUGCCUUCCUUCUUGUUUUCUUCAACCACUGCACAACAAGAAAAAAAAGUUUCAUUUCUACUUAUCAUGGGAAGUAGCAACCCAGAAAGUAACCAGUGAAAAGGGUGAUUUGUUCACUCUACAGUGUACUACUACACAUAAAUUUGCAGUGUUUACCUCUCCAAAGCGGUAGAUUGAACGUUCAACCAAUAAGCAGACAAAGACCAUGACAGCAACAACAGAGGCAACUGAAUAUGUUGGUGUCUCAGCCAGAGAGCGACCUCGCUGCAGCACCUCUGCCAUUGUUCACUUCAAAGCAACAAGUUGAAGUCUUUUUCAUGGGAAAAACAUAGUUCCUUGAUUCCACAUAAAUGGAGCCAGAUGGGAUCCAGGGAAUGGGGAAGUGCAGUGCAAAACGGAAGUGUAUCUUAGUUUAAUAAUUAUUUGGUGAAGAAGGUGCAUGUGCACAUUGGAAACUUCACUCACCUUACACAAAAAACUUCAUUAUUUAUUUAAUCUUUAGUUGUUGGUUUAUAUAUAUGUUUUAUGUUAUUUUGGAUUUUGAUAUGUUACUAUACUUUAACCAAAAUAUUCAUAUUUGUUUAUUCUUUUUUGGUGAUAAAAAAAGUUAAUUAUUAUUUUCUGAGGCCACACAACCUUGUUCACUUUCCAGUGUCGUGCUUUUUCCUCUCUCCAAAUCGAAAAGCAUGCACAUGGAGGGUUUCCCAGUCUCCCAGGUAAGUUGCUAAUAAUUUGUAAGUUGGAAGGGUCCCAAUAGAAACCUGGUAUAUUCUAUGCAUGUGGAUGCUGAUACGAUCAAUAUCAAUUCCCAACAAAUCAAACUACAAAAGGAAACAGAAAAUACUAACAGAAAAUAAUAAAAGAACUUUGAUAUAUAAUAUGAUGAGAUAAAGAGGAAUAAGAUACAUUAAUUUGGUAUUUAUAUCAUCAGUUAAAUAUAAGUUAAAUAUAUUUUUCGUUUUUUCUUUUAACAUGAAAUUGGUUUUAAUUCUUGUUCUAAACUUUAGAUUAUCCAGUUAUUUAUAAUAUAGAAAUUAUAGAAAUGAGUUAUUGUAUACGUGAAAUAAUUACAAGUUUUUUCAAGAUUUGUUGAUGUUUUGAUUGUAAAUACUUACUAAAAUUGUUUUUAAUGGUUGAUGAAUUUCAAAUUGAAACAAUUGUAUAUAUUAAAUGAUCUAUUUCAAUCAUUUUUAUACUACAAACAACUGGAUGAUAUAAAAUUUGAACCAGGAACGAAAAUCAGUUGAAGAGACCAAAACCAAUUUCGUGUCUUAGAAUUUAAGGUUUAGUACAUGGACGUUAAAAUCUUCAAGAUUUUGUUUUUAGAGUGGUGUUUAAUUUUUUAAAUAAACUCUUAUUAAGGUUUGAUUCUCAAAAUGAUAGAAAAAAACUCAUCAGAACAAAUAAUCACUAUUAAGCAUGAUUUUCAAAUGAGUAUUAUUCGUUGAAAAAAUGCAUAUAUACUUCACACUUUAUUGAGUUAUUCAUUUAUUUUAAGAUAAUUUUAUGUUUGAAAACAAAUGAUAAUCUAUCAUGAAUAUUAGUUUCUUAUGUUUUUUAUAUAUUUUAAAACAAAUAUAGGAUAUUAAUUUUUUUGAGUCAUAUUUUAAAUAUUUUAAAAAUAAAUUAUUAACAAUUAAAAGUUACUUUUGAUCACAAUAUAACUAUUUACUAUACAGAUAAAAUAUAAUUUGAAUCUAACUUUCUUGAAUUGAAAAGUUCAAAUAAUGUAAAAGACUAUAAUGUCUUAAUCAUCUUGUCUUAUUGAAUAUAAAUAUAUCAAGUGUUGAAAAAUAAAUGAGGCGUGGAUCUAAUUUUUAUAAACUUAAAGAAAAGUUGUAAUGGUGUAAAAAUACUACAAUAGAUUUAUUUUCUUAUUUUAUAUAUCUAUAAAAUAUAAAAAAAUAAUAAUCUUUAUGGACAAAAGUUGUGAGAUUAUCUUACUUUUAAGCUAAAUGCUUAGAUAAUAAUUUUAUUUAAUAAAUACUUUCAUUUUAAUUAUACAAGUUUAUAAAUUGUAUAAAUACAAUUAUUAAUAGUUUAGUGAUUUGAUGAUAAAAUACUUAAACCUUUGUAAAUAGGAUUUAAAAAUUUGAAUUUAAUCUUUUGGUGAUAUUAGUAAUCCAUUGUGAUGUUAGUAUCAAAUAGUGACACAUGUUAGAAUAAACUAUCCACAGUGUACACAUGUCCUAUUAGGUUAACACAAUCUUUUUUUUAAGUGUAAUUUAAUUGAACUAUUUAUUUUAUUUAGACUUACUUAUUAAAAUUGUUUUAAAGAGAUUAAUUUUAAUUCGUGUUAUGGUUUGAGUAUUAUUUAAAAAAAAAAAAUUGUGCUUUAAGUACUCUUAGUGUAAUUUAUUUGAGUUAUAUUUUUAAAGUGAUUUUUGGAUAAUUCAAUUUAAAAAUACACAAAUAUUUAUUUUAAAAUAUAUCUAUAAAUAUUCAUAAAUACCCGCGAUUAUUUUUCUCUCAUAACCUAUGUAGCCUAGACACUAACACACAGACAUUGAUUCGACAUGUACACGAAUAUAUGUAUAAUAUUUAAAAUGUAGGACACAAAUUUAUAUAUUAUAUAAUUAUAAAUUAUAUAAAUUGAUAAUAAAGAUUUAUGUUUAUGUGCACAAGUAUGUUUUAAUUUUUUUAGAAAAAAUAUGUUUUUUUUAUGUCUAGUUAAAAAAAUUGUUUUUUUAUUUUUAUAAUCAUAAUAAAAAUUUAUAUAAUAAGUUUGAAUUUUUAAAAAAUUAAUAUUUUUUUAAAAAAAUUGCGUUAGAGUCGUGCUAUAAUUGUCAGAAAUGCAAUAAAUAUUUUUUUAAGUAGACACUUCACUCAUACAUAUCUUACGAGAUGUCCAAUAUAUAUAUUCGACACGAAAAUAUUAUUUAAGAGUGAUUUCCAAACCUUAGGUCAAAACUCAACAAAUGGAUAAUAUAUUUUUUAUUUUUUAUUUUUCUUACAAUUGUUUUUUUUUUUAGUAUUUGUUGUUCUAUCAAUACACAUAUUACUAAUUUUUGUAUAGUUAAAUAUGGGAUUUUUAAGGACAACCUUGUUAUAUUUAUUCAGGGAAAGUCACAUAUAAUAUAAUACUUUAUCUAAAUUUCCUUACUACACUUAUUUCUUUGUUAUAUUAUUGCUUCAAAUUUUAAAUAUCAAUAAGAGAAAAUAUUAUUAUUUUAUUAAUUAUAAAAGAAUACUUUAUAUAUUACAUGUAAGAAAAAAAUUGAAAGAAAAGGGGGUUGCAUAACCAUUCAUACCAUUUAUUCCGUUCCUUAAACCAUUGAAAUUGAGCCUCAAAUAUUAGAAGAAAGAGAUUCCUAAAACCCUAAUCUUCCAAAACCCUACACUCUCUCAUGGCGUCGUCGUUAAUUCGCCUCCGCCGAACCCUCAGAGCACUCUCCGGCGUCACCCACUCCAUCUCCGCCGCGCAUGCGUCGUCCAUUUCGGCCCCUAUCAGGUGCGCCGUUCCAUGGAGUUCCCACUCUCCGAAGGGUGUGGUUCAGUCCCGUUCUUUCAGGUCAUCAUCAGCUUCUUUUCUCUCUGUUAGAUCCUCGCAGAGCAACAUCCCCGACGAGAUUGGUCCCGAUACCAUUCUCUUCGAGGGCUGCGACUACAACCACUGGCUCUUCGUCAUGGACUUCCCCCGAGACAACAAACCCUCUCCCGAAGACAUGGUUCGCGCUUAUGAGGAAACUUGUGCCAAAGGCCUCAACAUCAGGUUCCUCACUUCAUCUCUCGUACAACUCUUCCUAUCACAAUGUUUUGAUUAUAACUCGUUCGCAUACACCAAAAAUAAGUUAGAUUAUGAAAAAAAUAUCGAUGAGUGCGAGCAACACACUCUAUUAUCGAUAACUGCAAAAUCAUGUGUGGAGGUCGUUGAUUAAAAUUAGAAACAGUGAAAUUUUGUGAUUUUCAGCCAAUUUUAGUUGAGAGCGUGUUGAUGUGUUGGUACUGGUGGUCUUUACUUGAAUAUUUGGGUUUUUUUUCAGUGUGGAAGAGGCGAAGAAGAAGAUAUAUGCGUGCAGUACAACAACUUACACAGGCUUUCAGGCAGUCAUGACCGAAGAAGAGUCUAAAAAAUUUGAAGGUAUUUGUUCCUGCUUCUCACUCUCGAAUUCCAUGAUCAUGUCGAGAAAAUAUAAUUUGGUGUUUGAUUUGUUGCAUCUUAACAGGUCUUCCUGGAGUCAUCUUUGUGCUACCAGAUUCCUAUAUUGAUCCAGUGAACAAGCAGUACGGGGGUAUGGUUAUUUUUUUCUUUUCAGAAGUUUGAUUGGAUUUAUUCAUUACUUGUUCAAAUUUCAGUAUUUGCUAUAUCAUGUGCACUUCAACAGUUUGCUACCCUUUUGAUUACAAGAAUGUUUCUGAAAUAAAGUUUUCGUGGUUGAUAAAUAGGAGAUCAGUACAUUGAUGGAACUAUUAUCCCUCGACCUCCACCAGUACAGUAUGGGAGAAAUCAAGGAAGACGAGACCGGAAUAGGAGUCCUGGUCAGUACAACCGACAAGAGAAUCCCUCUUAUAAUAGUCAGGAGUCCAUGCAUGGGGAUGGAAGGAACUAUGGACCUUCACAAAAUUAUCCACCCUCACAGAACUAUGGUCAAGCAUCACAGAAUUAUCCACCUCAGCAGAACUAUGGUCAAUCAUCACAGAAUUAUCCGCCUCAGCAGAACUAUGGCCAAGCAUCUCAGAAUUAUCCACCCCAACAGAAAUAUGGCCAGACCUCACAGAACAAUCCUUCCCAACAAAGUUAUGGCCAGACAUCACAGAACAAUCCUUCCCAACCAAAUUAUGGCCAGACAUCACAGAACAAUCCUCCCCAACAAAAUUAUGGCCAGACAUCACAGAACAAUCCUCCCCAGCCAAAUUAUGGUCAAUCAUCUCAGAAUUAUCCACCACAACAGAGAUAUGGCCAGACAUCACAGAACUAUUCUCCCCAACAAAAUUAUGGCCAAGCAUCACACAAUUAUCCACCCCAACAGAAUUAUGGUCAGGCAUCACGCAAUUUUCCACCCCAACAAAAUUACGGUCAGACACCACAAAAUUAUCCACCCCAGGAGAACUUUAAUCAAGCAUCGCAGAAUUAUCCACCUCAUGCUCAGCAGCAGGGCUUUGGACCUCCAGGACAAGGGGAAAGGAGUUAUAUGCCACAGCAGAACUUUGGACGACCGGGACAAGGGGAAAGAAGAGAUACUGUGCCUAGGCAUGGUGCUUCAGAUGUGAGGGAUGAUACUUUUAUACCGUCAUACAUGAAGGAAUUUGAACAGGCUGAGCAGCAGGGGAAUCAACCUUCUGGCCGAGGCAAUUUUACUGGAGAGGUAUUGUAGAGAACCAAAAUUGAGUACAUUCAAGUUUCUGAGUCAAAUUAGUCAGAAUAGAGAUUAAAACUGAUGUUAAUAUUUAGUUCAAUAUAUUUUAUUGCGGGUCUGUAUUCGUUGAGGCUAGAUCUUUGCUAUUGGAAAAAAUUUCAACUUUGUCUCUAUCAAUACAAAAGAUAACUUGCUUUUGUUAUUUUUUGCAGGGAAGAUAUUGAGAGUAGUCGGAGACAUGUGGGCGGCUUGUAUUAAAGUACUAAUCACAUUCUAAGCUGAUUUGCAUGUCCUUUCCAUUUGGUGGAAUAUUGAUUUAUUGAGCUGUCGGUGUGUAUCGAUUAACUUUUAGUUCAUGCACUGCUGUGACAAAGUUGGAUGUGGUAUGUAAUUUAGUACUGGCUGCUACCUUGUUUUUUGAACAUGGUUGAACUCUGAAUUUCACGUGGUACUUUGCUCUCUUACUCCUCUUUCUCGUUCUCAUUGUGACGAACGAAACAGUUAAUAAUUGUGAAUUUGCUCUGUAUCAUGUGGCAAAUUGGUCAGUUUCCAUAGGCAGCCUAGUGCCAUAGCCCACACCCAACGUCCAUGUCUUACUCUUUUGUUUGAUAUCUUAAUUUGGCAUAUAUUUCAAGUUUUGGAAGAUCUAAUUCUUCUGAUGAUAAAAGUUGUUAGUGAGAAGUGCGGUUGAAGCAAAGAAGAAAAGGAUUAUUGUGCUAAUGACUGAGAAUAGUGGGCAUUAAAACAUAUUCAAAGAAUGUUCUUGGUCUGGCUUCAAUGUGUCUGAGGCUCCCAAGGAAAAUCAGACUUCUAUUAUCAGUGGCAGUUUUGAGGCUUAAGCUGAAAUGACAUGGAUAUAUGAACUCCUUCCACGUAUAAUCACUGAAUUCUAAUGCUUCUUUACACGAACAACAAUAAAUAUUAUUCUUAACAUCAAUUUUAGUAAAACAAUAUCACUCUUUCAAUAAAUGUAUUGGCAAAAUAAUGCUUUGUUGAAGAGUAAGGAAAUAGAUUAAUUGACAAACAAAACUAUUAAGACUGUUGGCAACACACUCGAAAAGGAUCUACUGAAAACAAAAGAUUUGCCUGAUUGAAAAAAAAAACAUCAAGAAAAGGAAGGGAUAAUAACUUUUUUUUUGCAAAUAAAUUUUAUUUACAAGUUGAAGUUGUACCACACCAAAUAUAAAGUAGUCAUAUAAGAAAAUACUAAAGAUAAUCACAUUAAAUUGCAUUAUUACCCAUAUGCUCAAUAACAAAAUUCUUUCUCCAAUAAAUUCCAAAUACAAGAUAAUCCUUCUAAAGGCUACUAACAUUGCUAUAGUAAAGGUCUCGAUUAAAGGGCAUUACUGAACCCUAAAACAGGAACUAAAUUUCUUCUUUUCAAAAGAAAAUAAAAAAGAACAUUAACAAUUGAUUACAACAAAAAAUUACAGACAGACGAAUAAGAAAACUAGAAAUUGAAAUUUAAUUGAAUAUUCUAACAACAACGCCAAAUUUAAUCAAUGUCAUACUCAACCAAAUUAAAAAAUUAAAAUAUAAAUAGCCGACUUCACAAAAACGACAAUAAAAUUCAAUUAUAAUAGUUGAUAUGUUUUUUUUACCUAUUAAAUUAAGCAAAUAAUUGUAUGGAAUUAAGUAAAUUAAACAUAAAUUAUAAUUAACGAACAAAAUCAAGUUAUCGCGUUAAAAAACAAUUCCAAAAUCAAGGAUCAGAAGUAAAAAAAAAAAACAUAUUAUCUAGUGCAAUCUAACACAGAAAUUGAUGAACAGAAAUCACACGAGAAAACAUAAUAUGUUACAUAUGCCAAUUAGGUUAGUGCACUUAAGAAUAUAAAUUCAACCAAUAAUUACAGUUAAAGUCCAAUUAAAUUACAUUAUAUGAAUUCUAAUUGAAACUAAGUGAAAUGUAUUUAUCCUUAAAUUCAUCUUGAAUUAAUAUAAUUUCAAUCAAAAGAUUAAAAAAAAAAACUAUUAAAAAUUUAGAACAAUCGACCACAGUGGGAGUCGAACCCACGACCUUCUGAUCCGAAGUCAGACGCGCUAAUCCACUGCGCUAUGCGGUCUUUGUUGACUAUUCUACAUUCAAAUAUUUUAAAUAUGUUAUUAUUAGAUCCUUUUGGUUACAACUGAACCAUUGCUAUAACGUAUUUUUGUCAAUACAAGUAUGUGGGUAGUUAUUUUAUGCAUGAACUCACUGGAAGCGACGUCGUUUCAGAUAAAGUGAAAAAUUAGAAUAAAGCGGGAGUUAGGGUUCGAGCACAACCUUGUUCGUGUGCGAGGGUUGCAGAGAGAAGCGAAUCGAAUCGGAAUGAGCGGUUGGGUGAAGCGACGCGGCGACGGUGUCGUCGGGAGCAGCAGAGAGGAAGAUCAGCUCAUAGUCACUCCAUUAGGCGCCGGAAAUGAGGUUGGCCGUUCCUGCGUCUACAUGUCCUACAAAGGCAAAAUCGUCUUGUUCGAUUGCGGCAUUCACCCUGCUUACUCCGGCAUGGCCGCUCUCCCCUAUUUCGACGAGAUUGACCCUUCCACCGUCGACGUCCUCCUCAUCACUCACUUCCACUUGGACCACGCCGCCUCCUUGCCCUACUUUCUCGAGAAAACCACCUUCCGUGGCCGCGUUUUCAUGACCUACGCCACCAAGGCCAUUUACAAGCUCCUCUUGUCCGAUUUUGUCAAAGUCAGUAAAGUCUCCGUCGAAGACAUGCUCUAUGACGAACAGGACAUCAACCGCUCCAUGGAUAAAAUCGAGGUUCUCUUCUCAUUUUCGCCUUUUCUGCUUCUCGCUACUUAAAUUUACUUCUCCGUCACUACUCGUAGAAGGAAAAUUAACAAGGUGUGGUGAAUUCAGUUUUUCGUAUAAGCUAAGCAAAAUCAACUUCCAAUUUAUUUAUCUAGGGUUGUAGUUUAGUUUAUCUCUUUAAUGUUUGCUUACAGAAAUUUGUGACUGCAGGUGAUAGAUUUCCAUCAAACAUUGGAAGUGAACGGUAUUCGAUUCUGGUGUUAUACUGCAGGACAUGUGCUUGGUGCUGCUAUGUUCAUGGUUGACAUCGCUGGUGUCCGAGUUCUUUAUACUGGAGAUUAUUCGCGCGAGGAAGAUCGGCAUCUCCGAGCUGCUGAGACCCCACAGUUUUCCCCCGAUGUUUGUAUUAUAGAGUCCACCUAUGGUAUACAGCACCAUCAGCCUCGGCACACUCGGGAAAAACGCUUCACUGAUGUUAUUCACUCCACCAUUUCUCAGGGGGGUCGUGUGUUGAUUCCAGUAUUUGCCCUUGGUCGUGCACAGGAGCUCCUCCUGAUCCUUGAUGAGUAUUGGGAAAAUCAUCCAGAGCUUCAGAAUAUACCCAUCUAUUAUGCUUCUCCUCUUGCAAAAAAAUGUUUGACCGUGUAUGAAACAUAUACCCUUUCCAUGAAUGACAGGAUCAAGAAUGCUAAGUCGAAUCCCUUUUCCUUCAAGCACGUGUCAGCUUUGAGUAGCAUUGAUGUUUUCAAAGAUGUGGGACCGUCUGUUGUGAUGGCAAGUCCUGGUGGGCUUCAGAGUGGUUUGUCACGACAACUAUUUGAAAUGUGGUGCUCUGAUAAGAAAAAUGCUUGUGUUUUACCAGGGUAUGUUGUUGAAGGGACAUUGGCAAAAACCAUCAUCAAUGAACCCAAGGAGGUUACUCUCAUGAAUGGACUCACUGCACCGCUUAACAUGCAGGUGCACUACAUUUCCUUUUCUGCUCACGCUGACUCUGCUCAAACAAGUGCUUUCUUAGAAGAGCUCAAUCCCCCUAAUAUAAUUCUUGUUCAUGGGGAAGCUAAUGAGAUGGGCAGGCUCAAACAGAAGCUUAUGAGUCAAUUUGCUGAUCGCAACACCAAAAUUCUUACUCCGAAAAACUGUCAAUCUGUUGAAAUGUAUUUCAAUUCCCAGAAAAUGGCAAAAACCAUAGGGAAGCUGGCUGAGAAAACACCGGAAGUUGGCGAAACUGUCAGUGGUUUACUGGUAAAAAAAGGCUUCACAUACCAGAUAAUGGCACCUGAUGAUCUCCAUGUCUUUUCACAACUAUCAACAGCAAGCAUCACUCAGAGAAUUACCAUUCCUUAUUCUUGUGCCUUUAAUGUCAUUCGGCAUAGACUAAAACAGAUAUAUGAGAGUGUUGAGCAGUCAGUGGAUGAGGAAUCUGGAGUUCCUACAUUGCAAGUCCAUGACUGCGUUACUGUGAAGCAAGAAUCUGAAAAGCAUAUCUCCUUGCAUUGGGCAGCUGACCCCAUUGGGGACAUGGUAUCAGAUUCAAUUGUUGCUCUGAUUUUAAAUAUCAGCCGUGAUGUCCCAAAAAUAAUGGAUGAAGCUGAUGCCGUUAAAAUUGAGGAAGAGAGUGAGAAGAAGGCAGAGAAGGUUAUGCAUGCCCUCCUCGUUUCACUCUUUGGAGAUGUGAAGAAAAGUGAAAAUGGUAAAUUGAUAAUCAGCAUUGAUGGGAAUGUAGCAGAGCUCAACAAAGAAAGUGGGGAAGUUGAGAGUGAAAAUGAAGGUCUCAAGGAAAGAGUAAAGACAGCAUUCCGCCGUAUUCAGAGUUCUGUGAAGCCAAUUCCUCUUCCUGCACCAUAGUCUAUUCCUUUUCUUGCAUUGUCUUGGGAAGGUUCAAUGCCACCAAACACUUGCUCACAUGAGACAGUUAUCAUAACAUGUAGUUACUGUAUCUUUAGAAUGACGAGCUUGGACACAACAUUCUCUGCCCCAUUUUUGUUAUUCAUCGAACAUUUAAUCAUUUAGUCUUCAAAUGUUUUAUUAAUGUGUCUUUAAUUUUUCUGUCUGUCAUUUUCUAGCUGAUAGCGAUGGUGCGCAUGAUUGAAUACUGAUCUCCUUGUUUCUAAAGCAUACUGAUUUUCUUUUAAUUCAUGAAUGAUUGAAUUUUGCUUACCAUGGAUCUUGUGCUGGGAAAUACAGUGUUGGACUGUUAGGUUUGAUGUUCUAUUUACCUAAAAACUAGUAGUGUGUCUCAGAUGAUUAAGGGUUCAUGAUUAUCACCAAAUAACUUUCGAUGUUCGGAAUCUUAAUAAAUUAAAAGAAUGUAAAUGAUUUAGUAUGCCUAUUUCAGGAAUGCUCUUUUAAUUUUUUAACAGAAGAAUCUUUGAAGUAUUAUUUUAUUUUAAUCUAAUAAUGUUGGUGCUAAGUGUAUCUGGGAUCAAAGUACGUGCAAUUUGAAUUUAUCACGAUUUGUUUCCCCAUGAGAUACCGACAUAAAAAUGGAGAUUAACCAAUCUGUUUUCCCCUCGCGAAAUGAUGAUGUUAAAGAGAAUAUUAAAAGUUAAAACACUUUAAAUUUAUAAGAAAUCUUUUAUUGAAAAAUAUAAUAUUUAAAUCUAAUGAUUUUGAAUAAAAAAUAUUAUUUACCAGUUUCUUAAUUGAUAUCUAAAGAUACUCAUUGGUAGGAUUCUUUAGAAUGGCAGUAUAAAUAUCAUCUUAGACACUUCAUCUUUUUCGCAAAAUAAUUUUACAUUUUGUUUAAAUCUUAAAAAAAAUGAAGCUUUUUUUGUCUAUAAUUUAGUAAUAAAAUUGUAAUAGUGACAAAUUAAUGUUAAAAAAGGAAUUUAAAUAGUUAUAAUUGACAGCUAACCAUAAAAAUAAAAUAAAAAAUACUAGUUUUCUCUUAAAUUUAUUAAAUAAUCUGAAUUAUAUUAAAAAACACGUCCUCUUUUGAUCAGAAUGCAUAAAAUAUUGUCAUUCUAUUGAUUUCCUCAUUAAUAUUAAACAAAAGUUAAAGAUGCUAAUUUUCUUGAAACAAAUGAAAGACAAAAAAACACUUAAUAAAAUAGCAUAUUUCCAUUUUAUAGUUUAUUUAAAUAAUUACUUGAAAUAUUUGUUAAUUUUCAAUUGCAACAGCUAAUAACAAGAUGGAGAGAGCAGUAAUAGAAUAUUGGAUUUUAAAGGUUAUAGCAGUAAUGGAGUAUUAAGUUUGAUGAAUAACAAGUAAAUGUAUUAAUUCCCAAGUUCAAAAGUAUCAAAAGCGAUGAGAUGAAUAAUAAGAUAAGAAAACAUAAAAUAUGGGGCUCAUAAACUAGUAUAUGGAUAUUUAAAGGAAUUUGAAACUAGCCUAUACUCUUGAAAAAAAUUUAGCAGUAACAUCUAAGAUGUCACAUGACAUUAGACUGCAGUUUUCUUGUUCCUGAAAUUCUCCUUCAUCAUUGCAAAUUUUUUCUUACACUGAUUCACAGUCUUCCCAGGUACAGCUGCUGCAACUCUCUCCCACCUCUGGCUUGUUUCCUUUGGAAAGGCUUUUAGAGCUUGAACCAGUGCUCGUUCAUGCACUGCAGACCACACAUCCUGUUCUGAACUGGAAGAAACUCCAUUAGCAGAUGCAGAGUUCUGAUUAUCUGUAUUCUUGCUGUGAGAAUCUUCUGUGUUAUUGGUUGAGGCAGGAGUUGGAGUUGGAGUUGAUACCCCUUCUAAUUCUUCUCUGGUUGUCAGUGGAGACUCAAUUGAUUGUGCACCAGGUUUCCUUUUCUCAAGAAAAGUGUCAAAAGCUUUUGAUGAAUCAGGUUUCUGGAGGAGUACAGUUUUAGUUGCCUUCAUUAUUUCUUCAACAGAUCUUCCAGUACCAAUGUAUUCUGAAAUAACCUCCCAUCUCCUUGAAGUUCCUUUGGGGUAUUUCUGCAUUCCUUUCCUCAGUAGAUCAAUCUCUUCUUUACUCCAAGGUUUCUCCUCCUUCUUCUCAACAUUGCUUCUCGAAGCACUGCCAUUAGCCUUGAUGGAACCAUUGGAAUUUUGUUGAUUGGUUUUCUCAUCAGCCUUGAUGGUUUUCUCAUCUUUCUUAGAGCUCAGAGCGUCUCUCAAAACACUUGCUUGCUCUAAUAAAACCUGCCUGCCUUCCAUGUUCUCACAUAGACUCCUCAUCUGCUCAAUAUCAAGUGACAUGCAAAGCCUUUCUACAUCAUCAUCAGAAAUAUCAAGCAAACGUUGGGACAGAAUAGGUCCUGAAAGAGUCCGGAGGCGAGCUCGCUCCUUUCGCAACAGCUUUUUCUCUUUCUCUUUGACCUUCUUCUGUUGUAAGGCAGCUUCUGCAGCUUGUCUCUCUUCCUCCUCUUUUCUCUGCUUCUCCUCCUCUGCAAUUCUGGCUGCUUCUUCUUCCUGCAAUUUCUUUGCCAGGAACUUAGCCUCCUUUUUCCUUUGUUUCUGAGCUUUUUCUUCUUCCUUUCUUCUAGAUAUUCUGGGGUCCCUCUUGUAAGCAUUAUCAACAAGAGUACGAAUCCGUGCAUAGUCCUCCUUCCUAGCUUUUUCUGUCAAUUUUGCAUUCUGCCUUUCCAUCCACCUCUUGUGGUCUCGAGAUUCAGCUUGCUCGAGAUCAAACUCAUCAGCAUGUGGAAACUCCCUCCAACUUUUAAAGGAGUACCAAAAAUUGUAGAAAUUAUCAACUUCUUUUAAUGGAGUAUUAUCAUCACCUAGUGUAGGAAUUGGUUGAUUAACCGACCAUCGUCCGUUCCUCAUAAAAGCAGGACCAAACACCUUAAAGAAAUCUUGUGGAGCACAAUCAGUGGGAAUCUCGUCAUCAAACUCAUCAGUGGAAUCAUAAAUCCUUCUCUUCACAGAAUCAGUCAGCACUUCAUAUGCUUCCUGGAUUGCCUUGAAGUGACUUUCUAUUUCAUCCUUCUUUGCUUGUUUCGCAGCUUCAGUUUCCUCAGCCAAAAGAAGGGCAGCCUGCUUGUCAGGAUGAAACCUCAAGGCAGUUUCACGAUAGCUUUUACGGAUUUGAUCCUCAGUAGCCAGAUACCUUAGAUGACCCAGACCCAAUAAUGCAUAGUGAUCUUGUUGCUUGUCCCCAGUACCAGAUUUCUUUUUGCUUUUGCUGCUAUAAGAAUCAGAUGGAAGGUACGUUUGUUCCUUAUCAUCAACCACCUUUUUGUCAUCAGCCUCAUUCUUCUCUUCCUGAACACCACGAAGUUUAAGUGCAGCAGAAUGGAAAGAAUGACCUGCAGGUUCAUAUUUCAAAGCCUUCGUCGGAAGACAGUUUGAAGAGACAAAAAUAGGUUGUCCAUCUACAAUCUCUUGUGAGUAAGUAAUAAGACGGAAUUUUGUAUGUACAGCCAUAAUGGUGGCCUUUCAGAACAAAGAAAUAUGUCUCCCCUCAAAUUUAACACCGCAACCUGCAUUCAAAUAAAAACUCAGUUAGACAAUUCCCAGUCCCUUGACUUCAAUUAAACAAACAUCUAAAUCAUUAUUUUAAUAGAAUGAGAUAUUUUCUUUAAGAGAAAGUGGACUACAACUGCGAAGUGAAGGGAAAAAAAGGCCAAUAAUGCAACAAGGAUGCCCAAUCUCAAAGCAUAUUAGAUACAGCAACUCUCUUGAUGCAGCAAUGAACGGAUUAAUAGAACACCAAAGAUGAGCACUCUGUUAAAAACUUUUAGCUAAUACACCACAGAAUUUAAAACAAGCCAAAAACUGUUUCAGAGUAGACCUAAACAACUAUUGCUCCUCCAAGCAGCAUUAUCUAAGAAGUAAGGCCAAAAUUCAGCCAUAUAAACAUGUCAUUGCAGCCUAUGCAAUUUGGCAUCACCAGUUAACAACAUUGCCAACAGAAGGCAAUCGAAAUAUUUUAUAAUGGGAAAGUAGCCAUCUUACAGUGAAAAAAGAACAAAAACACAACACACUGAGCUUUGUUUUCAUGAAGGUGGUAGAAGUGAGACAUACAACACUGAACAGAAAAGAAGUAGCUUAUUGGCAAGUUUGCACUGUACAAAGAUGAAAAAGGCAACCACUGGCCUCUCAGAAAGAGGCAUAUUUUUUAAAAAUAAUGUUUUUCCAAACUAAGACGAGAAAGGGUUACAGAUACAUUAAAUAGGUAUUCAGUUACUGCACCUGGGCUUAAAAUACACGCAUUGAAAUACAAUUAACUAGAUAUCAAAGAACUAAAAACAUGGGUAAUUAGAGGGAAAGUACUGUGUAUGACCUCCGAAAGUAAAUAUCGAUUCAGCUUCACAUUAACUGCAAACAUACCAAAAUUCAUUAAACUCUCAAACCUAAGGCAAAAAACAGUUUAGACAAACAUAGUUCCGCCAAUUCUUCCCACUUCCCUCCCUAACUUCAUCAAACGAAUAAAAUAAAAUAAAAUCACCCCAUUCAAUGAAGACAAAAGGUAAAGGAAAUAACACAUCCAAAACAUCUUUAGUUAAGUAAAAAACAGCCUAAAGCUACCAUUAUGUUAACAUAAAAUUCAUAUUGUAACAGUGGUCCUGCAGAAGAGCCUUUUUCUCAAAGCAUGAGAACGAAAAUCCGAAAAACAUGAAAAAAUGAGGACAAGAAACAUUGAAAAGGCAUAAUAAUUUUUUUCUACUGAAGAUUGUAAUUAACUGAGUGCAUGUUGGGUUCCACAUCUGGGAUCGACAAUUAGGGUAAAAUCACGUCGAAGACAAUGCAAAAGCAACAUGCUCCCAGAUACACAGUAACAAGAUUUGUGGAUUUCCUUUAAGUAGUAUCCAACACCAAAACUAAAAAAACUUCAACAAAGAAACCGCAGAAGAUGAAAGAACAAUUAUAAACGAAUAAACGAAAAGUACACAAAUUCAAUCAACCAUGAAGAAAAGAAAAAAAAUAACCCAGUUAAACAAACCGAAAGGGCUGAAGCUAAACUGAAAAGGGUUUCAGAUAUAUGCAGAGAAAGGUUACAGCUGUACCCAGAAACCGAGAAAAGUGUAGGUGAUGCAGGAGGAGAAGUGGAAGGAAAACAGAUCGUGAUUGGCAUGUGGGGUGUGUGAUGCAGAAAGUGAUGAGAUGGGAAAACGAAGAGGAAGAAGAAAGAUGAAAGCUUUACCAAGAAAAAAGGAGGGAGGAAUCACGGAAUGAAGGGAAGAAGAAGCCGACUCUGAAGAGCACAACACAAGAGAAGGAAAGCUUUGGUUUUGGUUUGGGCAUUUUAUAUGUGGCAACACCCACUGCCCUAUCUCUCUCUCUCUCUUUCCAAAAAUAAAUCAACAUUAUAUUAAGAACCCUAACAAAAUAUUUCUUCAUCUCAAUUUCCUUAUUUUGCAUAGAAUAAAAUAAUAUAAAUUUAAAUUAAUUGGUUAUUAUUUUUAAAAUAGAUUUGAAAUUUUGAUGUAAUAUCUAUCAUAUCAUUUUAAAUAUAAUUUGUUAUAAAUCAUAACAAAUUUAUCGCGUAUGUGAACAGAUAAUAUUUACAUUAACUUCUCUUUAAAUUUUAAAGCAAAAAUAAAUAAAAAAUGUUGAGAAUGCUAUAUUUUGUGAAAAAACUAGGUUAAGAAAAAUAUUUCAAGUGUGUGAAUUUUACCUGAAUUGAAAAAAGUCCUUAAGAUGGAUCUUUGUUCCUCAAAUUGGACCCAAUUAUCAUGAGAAUACUUAUGAUUAUGAUUGAUGAAAAUAAUUUUCUUACUCAACACCAUAUACAUAAGUAUAUUUAGGUCUCGUGCAAGUGUAAAAUAAAAUAAAAUAAGAUAAAAUAAGAUAAGAUAAAAUAAAAUAAAAUAUUUGUUUCUUCGACGAUAAUUUUCUUCUCUUCUACAUUUCUUGUUUCUUGCAAUACAUGCCAAAAACGUUUUGAACUUUUACCUCCAAUAACAAAAACUAAGACAAAUGUGGGGAAAGUAAAAGAUUUCUUUCACACCUUUGAAAACAUAUACUUAUACCACAUUAUAAUAAAUAAUAAUAUUUAAAAAUAAAAAAUAAAUUAUCUAGUAAAAUAAUAUAAAAAUACAAAUAGAAUUCAAAUUUUAAAAAGUAAAAUAAUAUAAAUACAAUUGAACACAGUUUAUAUCUAUUUGGUUUAGUACAUAAUUUUUUUUAAUAAUCUUAACGUUAUCAAAGUUUUAUUAUCUAGUUCAAUAGGAACUUAAUCACCACCUUAAGGCUCAAAUCCUAUCCAAAACCAAAACAAAAUGGUGUUUAAGUUAUGAAUGCAUGAAAGAAAUUUGAAAACCUUGCAUGUUUUCUCCAUAUUUUCAAAUGAUAAGAAGAGAUUAAAAUUGUAAUUUCAGGUCUUAUAUGAGGUGAGAAAGAAGACAUGGAGGUACAGAAAGAAAUUCCCUAUAAGGCAUUGGUUAAAGCCUCACAAAAUAGCCCAAUAAAUUUGAGGUCCACAAUCAAAUUAUUUUCACUCACUAAUAUAACUAUUCUUGUCCUUUUACAUUUAUACAUCCACCUGUUCAGAUCAAUCCACAUAAAUUCUGAACAUAACUUUAAAUAAAUUAAAGUUAAAUAUACUUUAAAUUUAAUUAUCAACUGCACAUUAUUUCCAUACUAUUUUUAAUAUACAAAAACACAAGUGGUUACAAUAGAAAAUAACACAUCUGAAAUUUAUGAAGAAGUUAUAACUUAUCUUAAAUAUAUAUAAAUAUGAUGUCCCUUUCAAUGCAUGUUGAUAUGUUGAUGAAUAUAUAUAGCAUAUGGUUUAGGUAAAGAGAGAGAGAGAAAGAAUGAGCAUGCAUUUCCAUUACUAGAAAUAGUGUUAUAUGGUGAGUUUGGUGAAGACUUAGAAGCACUGAAUAAUGGCUACCAUUUUCAUCUUCAUCUUCUUCUUCUUCCUCGUACCCUCUUGUAACCACCUCAAACCUUCUUUUUUUGUUUCUAAUUUUUCAUUUCUAUUGUCACCAUUCAUAUCUCUUUCACUGGGAAUGCAGAUGGAUUCGACUCGUUGGAUCCUCUUGGCAACAUCACCAUCACAUGGGAUUAUUUCUCCGACAACGGGAAUUCAGUCGACGUAACCAUUUCUACUUUUUAUUUUUCUAACUUACGUAUUCUGUUCUGAUUUACCCUUUUUAUGGGCUCUUCAUCAUCGCCGUCUAAGAAGAUAUCAAAGUGACUUAGUCAGAAUGUCUGCGGGUUUUCGAUGUUCUUAAGGAAACAGUGAGAUGCGUACGCUUUGUUUGUUUGUUUUUUAGGGUUAUGUUCGGUCUCUUGUAUACUUCCAAUCACUUCAUGCCACGUCAGCUAAACAUAGUGCAUUUCUUUGGCAAUAUAUGAGGCCAUUCUAGUAGUUCACUCUGUCUCAAUAGUCUCGUCUACGUGGGUUGCUGUUCAAGUGUAUGUAACAGUUUCUAGAUUAAUCAAGAUUAAGAUAUAUAAGUGUUUAUAAAUCUCACUUAUAAGCUAGUUUUAUAAAAUUGAUUAUCAGAGUAAUUCCAAACUUAAUCUAAUUAUUUGUUGGAUUUAUCAGUCUACCCAACACGAAUUGGUAAACUCGAUGUGCAGAUGUGUUGAAGAUUCACGUUAACUAGAGAUUAUGACUUAUAAAUACAUGCAAAUCUCACUUUAUAAACUGAAUUAAGCUUAAAGUUAACCUAUAGUUUCGUAUAAAUACUGAACUGCAAUAGCAUGCAUGGUAACAAGUGCGAUUUAUGGUGUGUUUGGUUUACUUGGUAGGUGAGGGUAUCACUGAACAACUUGCAGCUAUUUCGUCACGUGGAGGAACCCGGUUGGAAUUUGGGUUGGGCAUGGAAAGGUGAUGAGGUGAUUUGGGCUAUGUUGGGAGCAGAGGCAAAGGAGCAAGGGAAUUGCACAAGAUUUAGAGGACAACAGAAACCACACUGUUGCCAGAAGGAGCCUGUUAUCAUUGAUCUCAUGCCUGGAACCCCCUACAACAUGCAGACUGCAAAUUGCUGCAAAGGUGGGGUCCUAACAUCCCUAAAACAAGAUCAUUCCAAAGGUGGCGCCACCUUCCAGAUGAAUUAUAUCAAAGCUUCAGUCUCCGAUUCAGGUGGCAGUUUUAGCAUGCCUGAGAAUUUCACCCUUGGAGUUCCUGGCUAUAGCUGUGGGACACCCUUUCAAGUCCCCCCAACCAAGUUUACCAAAGAUGGACACAGAUGGCAACAAGUCUUGGGUCAGUACUGCUUCUUAAUAUCUCUUUUAUGCCUCACAAAGUUACCUCAGAAUCGUUAAUAACUCUACUUAUGUAUAUGAUAACAUGGUCAAAAUUAUUCUAUACACAUCAAUCUUUUCUGCUCUUGUUUUAUCUCACGUGAGUUAUUUUGUUGGAAUUAUGUGGGUUAUAUAUGCAUUCUUCUGUCUGAUAAGUUGUUUCGACAUGCUCUUUGUUCAUGUAUAUUUCAACAGCUUGGUGUGGUUCAUAUUGUAUUUUUUUUGUGGAUUACUUGCAGAGACUUGGAAUGUGACUUGUAUUUACUCCCAGUUUCUAGCAUCACCUACUCCAACAUGUUGUGUCUCUUUGUCUGCAUUCUACAACAGUACCAUUGUUCCUUGUCCCACAUGCAGUUGUAAUUGCCAAGGACUACCAGGAGCUACUAAUUGCGUCGAGUAAUUCUUCUCAUCUUCACUUAAUUUAUGCUUCAAAGCUUCUUUCAUAGAAUAACCAAUAAUCUAUUUGCAGUUCUGAUAAGACUUCAGUGUUGCAAGUACCACAAACAAAUCGCGGAGAAGCAUCAGCGGCAGUGAUCAGGUGUUCACAUCACAUGUGCCCCAUUAGCAUUCACUGGCAUGUGAAGCAAAGUUAUAAAGAGCAUUGGCGGGUCAAGAUCACAAUCACAAACAUGAACUUUGUCAAAAACUAUUCCCAGUGGAAUUUGGUGGCGGUUCACCCUAACUUCCGAAGCGUAACCCAAGUCUUCAGUUUCAACUUCCAAACCCUAUCAGUUUAUGCAAAUUUCAGUAAGUUACUGCAUUAUUGUCACCAUUAAUAAUACUGUAAGAGUAUCACACCUCAAUCUAAGAACCACAGUCACAUAAAAACACUUUGUUUGAACUAUGAGACUCAGAUACUCCUCUUAAAUAACAUGUCUAUGUCGGAUGCCUGUAUCGGUGGUGAAGUUUCAAAUGCAAAAAAUAUUUAUUAGAUUUAUGACGAAUGAGUGUUUUGAUGGUGUAUGGAUUUCAGGUGACAUAGGGAUGUUUUGGGGGCUACCAUACUACAAUGACAGGUUGCUGACACAUGGAGAGAAUGGGCAUGUGCAAACAGAGGUGUUACUACACAAAGAUCGAGGAGAGUUCAGGUUCAACGAAGGAUGGAGUUUUCCUAGAAAAAUUUCAUUCAAUGGCGAUGAGUGUGUGAUGCCAUCUCCUGAUGCAUACCCUACACUCCCCAACACAGCUCAUAUUUCCACAACAACCCUUCCCACAAUUUUCCUUUCACUGUUACUGCUCUCAAUUUGUUCUACAUCUUUAGAAUGAAGAAUUCUAGUUUAGUAUUUCAUAGUUUAGCGUCACACUGUAUUUCUAGUUAUUUCGUGUAGUCAAAACCUCAAUAAUAACAAAUCAACUGUGUUAUAACCUUUAAAAUUGGUCAAAACACCAUUAAAAAAAAUUAUUAGAAAAAAAAUAAUUUUAAAAACUAAAAUAUUUAAAUAUUCACUAAAUUAGAUUAGAAACUAUUUUAUAAAUUAAAUUAAAAAAUUAUUAGUAUAUAAAGUAUUUUCUCUCAUUAAUACAAAAUUAUAAAAUAAUUUUUAAUUUAAUAUUUAUUCAUUAGGUAUCAAGAUUUUAGUUACUUAACAUUUUAUAUUUUAAAUUAUUAAUAUUUAUUAAUCUUUUAGAUACUAAUUUAAAAUCUAAAAUAUUAAUAAUUAAAACUCAAAUAAGUAAUUUAGAUAUCAAUUUAAAAAUUAUUUUAUAGAUUUUUAUUAAUGAUAAAAAUCAGUUUAGAUAUUAAUAAUUUUCUAUUCUCUAAAUUAAUAUCUAAUUUAGUAAAUAUAAAAACUAAUUAAAUUUAUCAAUAAAUUUAAUUGUUAUUUAAUAAUUUUUUUAUAAUAUAUAAAAGCAAUUACAACUAUGGCACUAUAAUAAUAAAACUUUGCACUCAUUAACCUUGCGAAUUGAAUGAACGAUCGUUUUAUUCCAAUUUCAAGUUUGACUUCUUAACCCUAAUUGGAUACGUUGUAGUAUUUAAUAAAUCAUUAACUAUUAUUUUUAAAUUUUAAGAUAAUAUUGAUUAUUUUUUUAUCAUUUAUAUUGUUUUUCCUCAUUAGACGCUUACUUAGUUUAUAUAUGUAUUUGUUAUAAUAUGAAAACUAAAAAGGAUAAAACAGAAAUUCUUAUAAACAUUUUAUUAAAAUAAAAAUUGAUUACGUUUCUCCAAAAAAAACCUACAAUACUUAAAACAAGACAAAUGAACACAACAUAAUGUGAUCAAAAAUCACAUUAUCCGUUUCUAUUAAUAUCAAUUAUACAUUUAUUUAUUUAAGUCUCUAUUCUAUUUAUACAUUUAUUUAUUAUUUUUCUAUCAAUUUCUCUAUCUUCUUUUAUAUUCUUUUUUUUAUGAUUUUUUUUUCAUCUCACCGCACACUACAAGAGAAAAUUUUAGGUUAAUUUUUCCAUCUCUUUUCAUUUGUCUUUUAAAAUUAUUUUGCAAAAAAAAUAAAUAAGUUUUCUUAUUUUAUCACUUUCUUUCUCCACCUCUAUUAAAAAACACAGAGUUUAAUAGUUUAGAAAUAAUAGUUUAAUAGAGUUUAUUUUCUUCUUAGAUAUAAAAGUUACUUGAUUUUAUUUAUUUGUUUAUGAUUUUUUAAAAUGAUAAUAUUUCUUUACUUUUUGCAUAUUUUUUAAUUAACAACAACAUUUUUAUUGUUUUUCAUCUCUUUUUCUUUUCUUCUCUUUUUAUCACACUUUAUUUUAUUAUUUUCAUCCAACCAAACAUAAUAAUAAAGAUAUAGUGCCGAUUAAAUAAAUAAAUAAUAAUUUAUACCUCUAAGGGAAUUUUCUACUUUUCUAAAUUAUUUCCUUAUUUUAUCUUUAUUUUAUAUUUUUUUUAUUAAUUUAUUUUGAUUAUUCAGACAUUUUAUAAUUUUAUAAAUUAAUAAAAUAGUUUUUUAAUUUUAAAAUUUUAUGUUAUUUAUUCUCAUUUAACUAUUUGGAGAGAUUGAUAUACGUUAAUUUUAUUUAUUGUCACCUGACAGGAGGAGAGUGGAGAGAUUAAUUACUUUCCUGUUUUAAACUUAUAUUCUUCUUUAUUAAAUAAACAAUUUUAAAAUUUUAUUUGUUCCCACUUAACUGUUAAGGAAGUGGAGAGAUUGACAGGUUAAUUAAUUUUAUUUGUGAUCACUUAACUAACAGAAUGGUGUAGAGAUUGAUUAUCAGAAGUAGCGUUGAAUGUAGAACAAUUUUUUUAUUUUCUCUCUCUUAUUUUAUCUCUCUCCUUCCAAAUCUUUUGAAACCCAAUAACAUAUUUCUCAUACAUACAAAUACACAUGAAUUUAUAUUUAAAUAUAUAUAUAAUAAAAAAAACUAAAAAAUACGAAUGAACAGACGAAAAGAUCAAGCAUCGCCUAAUAAUAAUAAUAAUAAAGAUAUAGUGUAAUAAAUAAAAGCGUAAUUAAUAUUAUUUGAACUAUCUGAAUGAGAAAUAAAUAAAAACAAAAUAGUCAAAAGAAACAACACUUAAAAAGGAAGAAAUAACUCUUUACUAUUAUAAAUCAUAAAUGCCAAUUAAACUUUCAACUCUGACUUUUUAGUGAGAUUGGUUAAUGUGAUAUAAUUAUUAAUUACAGAAGUUAUGGCAACACAUGAGAACAAAAUAUAAUUUAAUUAAAAUAGUUGUUACAUUAAAUAUCAAUUAAUGAUCAUAUAUAUAUUAAUAAGAAAAUAUAUAAGUAUAUUUUUAUUAGAAAAUGAUAUAUAAGAUUUUUUUUUCUAAAAUUUUCUUUAUUAAAGAUAUAUAGGAACUAUUUUUUUUCUAUACCCAUCAAUUUUAAGGAGUCUCACUUCUAAAUUUUGUUAAUUUAUCCUUAAGUUCAAGUUAAUAGCACUCUUAUUCCAAGAUUCUCCCUUAUAUUGAUUAAAAUUUACUGAAAAUUAACAAUUCUAAUGGGUAUAGCUACUAAAUAAAAAAUAUUUAUUAAAUGAGAAGUGAAACCUUCCAAAAUUAAUUAAUAAAAAUAACAUUAGAAAAAGAGGAGUCAACGAAAGUGUAUGUAUACCAAUAUAUUUCAAUAUCAGAUAUUUAUAUGAAAUUGCUUUAGGGUUUCAAAAAACUACUAAAAAAGUUAAUUUAUGCAAAUAUAAAAGCUAAUUAGCUUUAUUAAUUUCAUUUAAAAACAAAUAUCCAUCCUUCAAUUAUUUUUCAUUAUAAUUUGAUAUAAAAAAUAUUAAAAUUAAUAUUUUAAUUUCAUAAAACAUAUUUUUGGGGAUAAUAUAUCAUUAAAUAAGAUAAUAUAAUUAAUAUUUUUUGUAUUUUAAACUAAAAUACAUUAUUUUUAUUAUUAUUUAUAUUCAAGACCGAAUGAAAUAUUACAUUUUUUCAAAUCAAUUGUACAUAAAAAAAUAAGUAAUUUUAAUAGUUGAAGAUAAUAGUAUAUUCAUAGUAUACUUGUAAUAUUUCUUUUCAGCGUUUAGUUUAUUAUCUAAACUUAAUUGUUUACUUGGUUCAAGUAGAAUUGAGACUAAAUCUCUUAAAAAAUGUUAGAUUCUUAGUAAUAUAAGUGAAACAAAUAUAAUUGAAAAAAUUAAUAAGAUAUGAUAAUUUUCAAUCAUAAUAAAAAUAAUUAUUAGUAAAAUCAGUGAAUAGUACAUGUAUACAACAAGAAAAUCAUUAAAUAUCAAUUAAUUUUAGACUAAUUAAUUAAAUUAAAUAUUAUUUUAUAAAUUAAAAAAUUAUUGAUAUUUAAAUUAAUUUUUAUUAUUAAUAAAAAUGUAUAAUAUACUUUUAAAAUUAAUUAGAUAUCAUGAAUUUAAAAACUAGUUUCUAAACUAUAGUAUAUAAAAUAGUAUUUAUUAUUAAUAAAAUUUAUAAUUUAAUUUUUAAAUUAUGACUAAUUAAUACGAGUUUAGAAAUUAAUUUAUAAAUUUCAUUAAUAAUAAAAAAUACUAUAUAUGAAUAAUUUUUAUAAUUUUUAAAAUAAUAUCUAAUAUAAUUAAUAUUAACUACUUUUUGUCUUUAAAAUUAAUUUUGUUGUGAUAAAAUUCGAUAAAGCUAAAUUAAUAUUUUUAAUAUCAAUAUAAAAAAAAUUAGUAAAAUUCAAUCCUAUGCUUCCGUGUCAAAAUAAAUAAGAUUUUCGAAAUAUAUCUGAUAACAAAACAUAUUGACAAACAGACUAAUUAAUAUCAUAAUUGCUCAUUAAUAUGUAUAACUCAUUCAACUCAUCAUAUAAUAUUUAAUAUUAACUAUUUAAUUAAUUAAAUAACUUUUUUUAAAUAUAUAUUUGUCAUUUAGUCCUAUUUGAAACCGUUUCUCUUUGACUUAAACUCUCAUCUACAACUUCAACGCUAGAAUCCCUCACUUAAAAGAAGGUGAAUAAGCAUGAGAGAUUAAGUUUUUAUUUAUUUUUUUAUUACACAAAAGCAAGUAUUUUUCAAUGUAAAACAAUUCAUUAUACUAAAGUCUUACAAAAAUUGUUUAGAUAAACUACAAGAAAAUCAUGAAAUAGAAACUAAUUUUAUAGAUAAAAAAUAAUUAGUUGUUAUAGUGACUAAAUUAGAUACCAUUUUAAAAACUAAAAAAAUAGUUUUUAAAUAUUUUAUUAUUGUUAAAUAGUUUAUAAAUUGAUAUCUAAUUAGCUAUACCAAUUAUUUAUAUUCUAAAAUUGGUAGCAAAAACUUUGGUUACUAAUUAGAUACUAAUUUAGAAACCAUUUAACAAUAAUAAAAAUUAAUUUAUAAACUAAAAAUAUUUUUAGUCUCUAAUUUAGUCAUUAUAACAACUAAUUAUUUUUGUCUAUAAAAUUGGUUUCUAUUUCAUGAUUUUCUUGUAGUGGGAGUCUUAGAAACAAUUAUCUUCUACUUUUCCUCUCGGUUUUUCAGCUUCUCACUAAUGACUUAGACUUUCUAUGGAUCAGCUAACUUGGAUUAUAUUAUGUGGGCUUGGACUUAUUUUUGGCUAUUAGAUAUGGACUAUCACUCAGCUAUUGGAUCUGGGUCAGCUCUCAGCUUCUAGAUCCAAAGUGAGUGUACCUGUAAGGGGCUCCGAUGGUAAAGUUAUAAUUGGUUUGUUUGAUUAUCAGAUAAAAAAAAACAUUCUACUUACCUAUUACACAAAUCACCUAUUUUAUAUUUUAACUUGAUUGGACUUUUACUUUUCACACAUUAUAGUUACUAAGUAUAUUUCAAGUGUUUUUUGUCUAUUUAUUGAACUUUGAUACAAUGCUAUUUUAUUCUAUUAUUUAUUUAUAUUUUAACUUUCAAUAUUCUGAGAGUCUUACGGCCUUUUGACCUUUCGACCUAGUCAUUACCGUUUACAAAAGUCAAUUACAUACACAUGUACAAUAUAACUUUUUAUUUUAGAAUUAUUAAUUCUUCUUAAGUAGCCUAAUUUAGUUUCUCUUUUUUUUUGUGUUUCCCAAGAAAACUUAUAAAUAUAAAAUGUUAGAGAAGUCCUAACCUACUUCUAGAAGACUUGUUUAAAAAACGAAACACAUUAUAAACUUAUACUACUUACACUAUAAGAAAUCAUUAAAUGAAAACUAAUUUUAAAGACCAACAUAAUUAGUUUUUAUUUGAACAAAUUAGAGACCAUUUUAUAAACUAAAAAAAAAAAUUGGUAGCUAAUUUAGAAAUUAAUUUAGAAUAUAAAGUACGAAGUAGCUAAAAUUUUGGUAGCUAAAUUAUAGAGACUAAUUCUAGUCUCCAAAAAGUCAUGAUGCAAUCCAACUUCAGAGGUAAGAAGUUGCCUAACCGAUAGUGUGCCAUUAAAGCUUUAGAAUUGAGUUGCACUUACACAUACAUAUAUGUGUGAUUAUGUAUAGUUAUAUGUAUAUUGUUUAGGUUGAAUAUAUGUAUGAUUAUGUAUAGUUAUAUGUAUAUUGUUUAGGUCGAAUGAGCAAAAGGUUGAAAGGUCGAUAAUAAGAUGAAAAACUAAACAAAAAUGAAUAAAUAAUUAAAUAAUAAAAUAUUAUAGCAAAAUUCAUUGAAUAGAUCUAAAUAUGUACAAUAUGUUUAAGAAAUAUACACUAAAAGAAAAUCAUGAAAUAAAAACCAAUUUGUAGAAACCAAAAUAAUUAGUUGCAAUAGUAACUAAAUUAGAGACCAUUUUAGAAACUAACAAAAAAAUUGGUUUCUAAAUUAGUUUCUAUUAUUUUCUAUUAUUGUUAAAUAGUCUCUAAAUUAGUAUCUAAUUAGCAACCAAAGUUUUUGCUACCAAAUUUAGAAACUAAAUAAUUGGUAGUUAAAACAUUAGUUGCUAAUUAGAUACCAAUUUAAAAACUAUUUAACAAUAAUAUAAAAUAAUAGAAAGUAAUUUAGAAACCAAUUUUUUGUUUAGUUUCUAAAAUGAUCUCUAUUUUAGUUCCUAUUGUAACUAAUUAUUUUGGUCUCUAAAAAUUGGUUUCUAUUUCAUGAUUUUCUUGUACAAAUAGUAAAAGUCCAAUUGGGUCUAAAGUUCAAUAAGUGAGUACUAUAAACAGGUGAUCAACUCAAGAAGUAAGUAGAGUGAAUUCUAUCUUAUAAUUAACCAAAAUCGAUUAUGACUUUAUCAUCGGAGCUCCUUAUAGGUACACACAUCCGCCUGAGAGCUGACCUUGAGUCUAAAAGUCAAGAGUCCAAGUUGACUAAACCAGAAUCCGUCCAAGUCCAAACUAGUAAACAAUGUAGUUGAAAGUCCAAGCUUGAAUCAAAAGAUCGUGAAGCCAAGAAGUUAAGAGAAGAAGAAAUUCAUUGUUUUUAGGCCUUGUAAGAACAUUAUGAAUUGUUUUAAGCAUGACGAAAUAAACUUAAAAAGUUGUCAGUAGUCAAUCCUAAAAAACGUAGUUGAUAAAAUACGUUGAAGUUCAUUAAAAAAAACAAAGAUCUCAAUUAAACUAUUAAUGAAAAAAAUUAAAUAACCUAAUUAAUGCUUCGCGUUUAAUCCGGAAAAUAAAAUGAUGGUUUGAAGGAUUUGUUUAAAAAACAUGAUCAAAACACAUUAAAAAAUGAUAUAUUGACAACUUUCACCAGUCUACAACCUCAAUUUUUACCUAAAACUUGUAUCCGUUUAUGAAAUAACGAAAAUAACCUUUCUUUAUAUCAUCGAUCACUCGUUGAAUAUUGAAGCAUAGUUGUCAAAAUAUCAUUACUCAAGAUGCACAUGUAACCCUUGUUGAGAUGACGUGUCACAUCCCACCUUCUCUUCUUCUCUAUAAAAGCAUGAACACAUAUCACCAUUCAUACAUCAACCUAUACCUUACCCUUUCAUCUCUUCACACCCCAAAUCCCAAAACACCAUCACCAUGUCAAGCGUCAACACCAGUGCUUACACCACCCAACUCCGAGCCUCUCACUUGGAAGUACAGUUUGGGUACGAGGAGUGUUGCCGCAACCAUGCAGUGGCCGUAGGAGGAGCUUCCUACGAUGGCUGCAACGAGUAUCAGAAAGCAAGGUCGCAGAACUCUUUCCUCUGUGCAUGCUGUGGUUGUCACCGCAACUUUCACCGCAAACGCCCUACUUUGAAAAGAGAGCGCCGAACUGAAGCAGGGAAUGGUCGUGCUCUGGAUAUAGUUCCUGUUUCAGAGACGUUUCGCCCGGAGCGUAGCAACAACCCAGAGCCACUGCAGCUGGUGAGGCCACUGAGGAGGAGGAGGACGAGGUUCUCGCGCGACCAGAAGAAGCAAAUGACGAGGUUUGCUGAGAUAUUGGGGUGGAAACCUCACAAGGGUAACAGGGAGGAUAUUCAACGUUUCUGCACUGACAUGGGAAUAAGCCGGAAGAUCUUCGUGGUGUGGCUGAACAACAAUCGUCACCGUGCAACUCCGAAUGUGAGUGAUCCAUGAAGCAGUUAGAGGUUGAUGGUUGGAUCGGUCUUGGCACUUGGCAUUAAUAAGGAUUUUGUUUCCAUGUAUUGUUCCUAGUAUCAGUGUGUUUGUGUUUGUGUUUGUUCUGUGUUUUUCUUUUCAGUUUAUCUGUGUUUUCAGUGCUUUGACUUUUAGUGAUGUAGUCCAUGUGCCAUGAAUUUCUAAGUGAAUGACUGUUAUGUGUUUCAAAUGCAUUCUUCAUUUUCCUUCACUCUAUCUUCAACCUACCUCAAAAAUACUUCCUUAUUAACCGGAUCUAAAUUUUAUCUUAUAAGCCGAUUUUAUAAAGUUGUUGAGUUAAACUUAAAGUUCACUUCUUAAUAUAUAUCAGAGUCAUCUAAGGUUUAUCUCAAGAAAAUAUAUAUCAAAGUCAUCUAAAGUUUAUCUCAAAAAAAUAUAUAUCAGAGUCAUCUAAGGUUUAUCUCAAGAAGGGUUUGUUGAGCUUACAUUCCUUAUGUCAUCGAUGAAUGAUAAAUAUAUAAUCUUAUUAUACCAUUUUUAUUUUUUUAAUCUUUCUCGCUCUAAAUAGAAGUCAUGUCAAGUUUAUAUUAAAUUCUAAACACAUAUACAUAUUCAUUAAAAGAAAACUACUAAAUUAAAAUGAUUUUUUGUGGAAUCUUUCCUCCUUUCAUAAAAUCAAAGCUCACAAUUUAAUUUUUCUUUUGGAAAAAAAUUGUUUCACAAGCUCAACACUAAAAGAAUUUCAUUUAUAAUAAUAUAAUAUUAUUUUUAAUUAAAAAUAAAAUAAAAAUAACUGAAAAGAAUAAUUAUUGAAUUAUUAAGGGUGUGUAUUUAAUUUUUGGAGAGUCGAGAAUAAUCACUCUUUUGUUUUAUUAAAAACCGUCACCUUAUUGUCAUGACUUAUUAAAUUUUGUUUUGUCGUUUCUUCUUAAAAAAAUUAAAGUCAUAUGCACCAUUUACUUUAACGUGCCGGUAAUAUAAAUAUUAUGCUUGUUAUAUACGUUACUCGAUAACUAAAAUCCAAUACAAUUAAAUAGGAGAAAAAAAAUUAAUGAUUAAUGUGAUAACGGGUAAUUGAAUAUUUUUUUUAUAUAUUUUUCUUCAAGCUUAUUCAUACUCAUCAAUGUGGAAAAACUCACACUUAUAAUCCUAAUAUUAAUAUAUACUACAAUAAAAUCAUUAAAUAGUAACUAAAUUUAGAAGCAAAAAAUAAUAAUUAGUCACUAUAUUAACUAAAUUAAAUACUAAUUUAGAGAAAAAUUAUUCAUAUCUCAAGUGAUUUCUAUUAUCAGUAAAAAUUUAUAAAAUGAUUUAUGUAUUUGUAUCUAAAUUAGCUACCUAAGUUUUAGCGAUUGAUUUUUUAGAUUUUAAUUCAGUCUCUAAAAGAUUAAUAGAGACUAAUUUAGAAUAUAAGUAGUAAAUAGCUAAAAUUUUGGUAGGUAAUGGUUAGAUACCAAUUUAGAAACCAUUUUAUAAAUUUGUAUUAAUAAUGGAAACUAUUAUAGAUACCAAUAGUUUUUUUAGUUUAUAAAAUAGUCUCUAAUUUAAUGAAAUAGUAACUAAUUAUUUUGAUCUCUAUAAUUAGUUUCCAUUUUAUGAUUUUCUUGUAAUAAUAUUAGAUAAUAAAAAAGCGUAACAAUUCAAGAUCAAAAAAUACUAUCCAAAUUGAAAAAUCAAUACAAAUAUAUAGUUUCAUCUUGUCGUACAAUCUCUUAGUCAUGUACAUCUUGUUUCUCUCAAAAAGCAUGUCUAAAAAACAACCAUAUAUUAUCGAAUAUGAAUCUACAUAAUUGAAAUAUUGAAUAUACAUUUUUCAUUUUCUUUCACUCUCUCUUCAAAUGACCUUAAAAUAACAUUCUCUUUAACUUCGUUAUUUGUUUAUUUAAUUUGGAUGAGCACCAUUUCUAUUUUCUUAAUCUUUGUCAUUCUAAAUAGAAGUCAUGCCAAGUUUAUAUUAAGUUUGCAUUUGUAUCUCAUUUGUUUUACAUUGAAUUUGACAUAUUUAUUAUAAGAAAAUCAUUAAAUAUAAACUAAUUUUAAAAAUAAAAAAUAUUUUUUAUUAUAUUAUAAUCUUGUUUAAAAUAAAAUAUUGUAUUAUAAGAAAAUAAUAAUUUUUAUGGAUGCUGAGUGAAUAGAACUAGUGUUAAGGUAUCAUUACCCAAAAAAAAAGAAUGAAAAUGUCAUAAUAAGAUUUUGAUGGUGAUAGAUUGACACAACAAAUAAUAAAAAAUAUGAACUAACAAACCAAUAAAUUAAUAUUUUAAUAUGUUUAAUUUAUUUUUUAAUUUAAAAUAUUAAUAUAUUAUUAUAAUAGGCUGUCGAGUACAUGUGAUUUACUUUUUUGGUGUCAAAGUAAUCUUUUACACAAAAUUGUCCUCUUUUCAUAAAAUGAAUCCCACAAUUUAGUUUUUUUUUUUUGAAAAAAAAUUGCUUCACAUCCUCAACACUAAAAAAAAAAUCAUUUAUAGCAAUAUAAUAUUAUUUUAAAUUAGAAAUAAAUAAAUAUAACAACAAAAAUAAUUUAUUGAGUUAUUAAGUAAUUGUAUUUAUUUUUUGGAGUGUUAGAGAAUCAUCACUCUUUUCUUUUAUUAUAAAUCGUCACCUCAUUAUCCUGACUUAUUAAAUUUUAUUUUGCCGUUUCUUCUUAUAAAAAUAAAGUCAUAUGCACCGGUUUACUUAGCGUGUCGUUUAUCAAAAUAUUAUACCUGUUCUUUACUUUACUCGAUAACUAACAUUCAAUACAAUUAAAUAGGAAAAAAGUAUAACGAUUCAAGAUAUAUUAGAUAAUAAAAAGUAUAAUGAUUCAAGAUCAAGAAAUACUACCCAAAUUGAAAAACAAUAAUAAUAAAUAGUUUCAUUUUCUACUACAAUAAUUUCUUAGUCAUGUACAUUUUCUUAAGAGUGAAGUCCUAAGUUCCUCUCAAAAAAUAUUUUAAAAACAAUCAUAUAUUAUCCAAUAUGAAUUUAUAUAAUUGAAAUAUCAUCCAUGUAAAUUUCAUUAGACUUUAGAUCAUUUAUCGAUAUGUGCGUAUCAUGCCAUAUUAAUAUUCAUUGUAUCCUUCCAAAUUUUUUUUCAUGACCCAUGCUUUUGUGUUUUUUUUUUUUUUUUAAUUUUAGGUUUUUCUUUUCAUGUGACGACACAAUUUAACACUACGAAACACUACGAAACAAUCAUUGUUAAUUUUAGAGACAAGAAACAAUUAGUCAUUGACUAAAUAUUUUAGAAACUACAAAAUUAUUGAUAUUCAAAGUAAUUUCUAUUAUUAAUAAAAAUGUAUAAAUUAUUAUCUAAAUUAGCUACCAAGAGUUUAGUUAGUAAUAUUUUAGAUUUUAAAUUAGUCUAAAAAAUUAUAGAGACUAAUUUAUAAUAUAAAAUAUUUAGUAGCUAAAACAUUAGUAAUUAAUAGUUACAUACCAAUUUAGAAACUAUUUUAUAAAUUUUUAUUAAUAAUAAAAAUUAUUUUAAAUAUCAAUAAUUUUUAAUUUAUAAAGUUAUAUCUAAUUUAGUUAAUAUAAUAAUUAAUUAUUUAAUUUUUAUAAUUAGUUUUUAUGUAAUGAUUUUUUUGUUGUAAUGUUAUGUCUUGUAAUUGAAUAUAGUUUUAUGAAAGUAAAAUUAAGAAAUUAUGUAGCUGUUUUUUAGUUGACGAAGUUUUAAAGAAAUUAUACGGUCAUCCAUUUUAAUAAAUAAAAAUUAAUAUAAUUUGAUAAAGCAUAAUUAUCUAGUACAAAUAUAUUAAAAUUGGUUAAAAAAUUAUGUUUUUUAUACAAUAAUAUAAAUAAUAACUCAAUUAAAUAAUGUGAAUAGUGUAUUUUCUUAAUAUAAUAGUAUAAAUAAUAAUAAUAAUUUAAAUUAAUUAUAUGAAUAUUUAAUUAUAAUUAUUAUGUGCACUAAAAUUAUUAAAUUGGGUAAUAAAUUUAUUUAUACUAACAAUAUACAAAUAAGCUUUUAUAAUAAUAUCAACAAUGAAAUUAAUUGAAAGCUUGCAAAAAAUUAAAUUAAGUUAUAAUCUAAAAUCAAUUCAAUAUCUGUGUUUUUAUUUAUUUUUAAUGAUCAUUAAAACUAUUCUUGUAUAAUUUGAAUUAAUAUUUUUAAAUUUAUGUGUUUUUUUAUGACAUAGACAAUAUAGAGUUCCAAAUUGACAUCGCAAGAUCCAGCGUGGCACCAUGCUAUUGGCUCAGUACACGUAUAUUCCAAUUUUUUUUUUAUUUUGCGAAAUCAUUUUAUUAACCUUCUUAGUUCUAUAAAAUUCAACGUUCAUCACUCAGCAUUCAUAUUUGUUCAUUUCUGAAUUCAGAUCGAAAGGUAGAAGAAAAGGAGAGAGAAUGGACGCCAUUGAUUCCGUCUUCGAUCCCCUCAGAGAAUUCUCCAAGGACAGUGUCAGACUCGUCAAGCGAUGCCACAAACCCGAUCGUAAAGGUGUAACCCUAACCCUAACAUUUCUCCAUCGUUUUCCUUGAUUCCUAAUUUUUUUUUUGUUUUUCUAAAUAAGAUUGAAUCUAUGUUCUGUGGAUCUUGAUUGAUUGGAUGGUUUGGGUGUUUCAGAAUUCUCUAAGGUUGCUGUGCGUACCGCGAUUGGUUUCGUUGUGAUGGGAUUCGUCGGUUUUUUUGUCAAGCUCAUCUUCAUUCCAAUCAACAACAUCAUCGUCGGAUCUGGUUAGGUAAAUUAUAACUUUCUCAGAUUUGUUUUCAUUUAUAGUUUUACCCUGUUAUUCAUUUGUCCUGCUUGGACCUCUGUCUUUUAUAUUGUUUUUGAAGCUUGGAGACUGAUCUGAUUUUUUUGUUACAAUUUAUUUGGUAAAUUUUGAAUUUUUCAUAUUGGGAUUGCUUGUUUGGUUGAGUUGUUAUUCAGAAGCAUUGUUGACCAUGUUGUGCUGGCGUGGUAUAUUGGAACGAUCUGAUAUGAAGGUUUAAUUGAAUCAGGGAUUUAGGGUAGUUAUUUGUAAAAAUAUUCGGUGCUGCUUAUGGUUACAUUUAUAGUGUAAGGCAUAGAAUGAUGAGUUAAUUGAUCGCAUUAUAUGGUGAACUUUUUACUGCAACUAUUUCUAAAUGAACAGAUAUGGCAAUCUGGUGCAGUGAUUUAUUAAAGAACAUUAAUCUGUUAGUGUGCAUAUUUUCAUGUUUUAAUAUAUGGGGAGUUUCUGCACUGUUACAUGUAUGUGAGAUUAUGCAUGAUUAUUUCUCAGUACCCUGUCUUUGCUACCGGUUUCAUUCGGAGCAUGUAAUUGCUAUCUAUGUUUUAGAUGAGAGUGCUUGGUCUGAACAUUGUUGAGGAUUUUAUUUUCUUCUUGGAAUAUGUAUACUCUUUGAAAACCAGCUUCGGUAGAUUGUCUAGUUUUUAUUAUCGAUUUAAUGCUGUUUUUCUUUAUUUUCUCUGUUUUGAGAUGUUGGCUGUUAGUGAAACUGUGUCUUUAGCUAAGUGUGCAAAAUGGAUGAUAAAUAACCCUUGAUUAUUCCGCAGGAUGAGGGGAAUUUUUCAAUUGCCUCAGGAGUCCAAGUUGUCAAACAUGAAGAGGCAGAAAGAGUUCCCACUUUGUUAGGUCAUCAUGAACUUAAUUGUAGUUUUUUUGUACUCUAUUUUUGGUGUACACUUGUAUCUUAUCUUCGGAAGCUUUACAGUUUUAUUUGAAAUAUACAAUUUUAUUCUUCCGUGUUAGACCCUUGACACAUUGUUUUGAUUCAGGAGGAAAAGGAUGAAAAAAGUAGUUGAGAAACUAUUCUUUUGGUUUUGAUUCUUUGAACUUCGCUUUCUUAGUCUUUUUAGAUAUUUUAGAGCAAAAAAUAAGAAAGUCCACACCCAUUGAUGAGGUGGAACUUGUAUAAAUAAGUUGCCAAGAACAAAAUAAAUUUAAAUUAACUCGAACUGUUUAAAUGUUGAUAGGCAAUAACAGUGGUAAUUAUUCUUCACCUCCUUUUCUUAAGGAUCCAUAUUUUUUGUACUUUGACAUACUGCUGAAAGUUACAACAUAGAACCCAAUUAUAUGUAAAAUAAGUUAAAUACUUGAAAUCAAAAGAAAAAAAUAUAAGAAGGUUACAGAACCAGAAGUUUUCUUCAUAAUCUGUGACAUAUAUUUGUUUGAGUAAAAAUCUGGUGUUGUGUGUAAAGAUUUCCCGUUUUAAAGUCGUGCUGGUGAGGUUCACUUACAGGGAAAUUAAGGGGGUGGGUGGCGGAGAUAACCCAAUGGUGUCAGUGCAGCGUCUGUUACGCUCUCAAAUUCACAUUCAAAAAUGGGUUCCCUUAACCCAUUGAAACAACCCAUCCAUAUCUCCUUUACUCCUCUGGGAGAAAAAAUCAGAAAAAUAACAGCUAUAAGAGGCCAAUAAGUAAAUAAUCGUCUUCGUCUGCUCUCUGCGACAACCAUGUGCUAGUUAUCUGCUAUCUGCUACAACCAUGUGUCACUUAUCUGCUAUCUGCUACAACCUUAUGCCAGUUAUCUGCUAUAACCGUAUGCCUGCUAUCUGCUAUAACCCCAAAAUGCUCCAUGGCUUUUUCAAAAACAAUUCUCAUAGCUUAUAUUCAAUCACACCAGCAUAACCUACCCAAAAUUAUUUUUUGGAGUAAUCAGUAAAUCACAUUUGCGCAUUCACUUAAAAUGGUGUGGUUAAAUGAAGACUGAAUGACUCAAGUGUGUUUGCACUCUGAUAUACCGAAGAACAAAAUAUGAACAGUUGGGUCAUCAUUUAACGAUUCAAUUCAAGUGAAUAUGUGAUGUCGCAAGAGUUUUGAAAUCUUAAUUUCCCACUCUUUAACAGGUAGAAUUUGGGUCUGAUUCAUGUCGAUGGACUUCCACCAUUAGUCUGUACCAUUGGAAAAUUUCACUACUAAGGCUUAAACUAGUGUUAUAUAUUCAGAUGUUAAGAUCAAGUAACUUCCCUUUUCUCUGAAACUUUGUUGAAUUCAAUAAAGAAACAAGGUAUUAUUUGUUUUGUAUACUCAAUUAAUCAUUUUGUAUAAAAUAAAGAAACAAGGUGAAGGACACAGACAUGUCAAGUCCAACAGCACCACCACACUACCAAGAAUCCAAAUGGAAGAGAGCCACAUAGAUAGUAAUGAAAUGCUGUACAUAUUAAGUAAAAAAAAACAAUAAAAACACCUUGUUUCAACCAAAUAUUUUUAUACAUCUUUUUAAUUUUCUCAAGUAAGUAAAGAAUGGAAAUAAUUAACAUGCAAAUAUCACUUUUGGCAUGAAUUAAACUAAAAGGAAAAAGGGAAAGAGAAGUUUCAUAAUGAUAUGAUUCCUGUCAUGAGCAUCCCCUUAAAGCUUCGUACGUAACCAUCACGUUUGGCUUGGUACGAAUGUUUGUAGUGCAUGCCCCAUUACCCAAACCUGAAAUCUGAAACCUGAAACAUAUAACAAAAUCCCCAAUUUUUUUAAUUGGGAAAUUGAAUCACUUUUGACCGUUGACUGAAACGAGUUGGAUGACCAACCCGUUCAAAGCGAGUCAACUCAUCUCAAUUUGAGUCAAUCCAAUGUAACAUCAUCCAAAACCUCCCUAAUGGUCAUGGAUAUCUUCCCACUUGGGACACCAACACCGUCUACCUCACCCACACCGUCUACCUCACCACCGUCUACCUCACCCUCUUCUUCUGCUAUACACCGAAUUCGUUUCUGAGUUUGCCAAACACUACCCAUCAUCACCUUCCUCUUUCUCAACCAAUCCAACCCCUUCAAAACGCACGUCCAAACGGGGACCCUCACUCGUUUCACCACACAAUUUUCCAUUCCCAUAACAACUUCAGCAGCUGAAGGACGUUCAUCUUCAUUCUCUGACACACAACGUGAAGCAUAGCGUAACAAGCGAGUGAUUGUUCCAACCAUGUAACCCGGCAGUGCCACUCUGUCGUCACAAAUCUCUUCCAAAAGUUCUUCACCCAUUAACUGAAUCGCCCAUUCCACAACCGAAGCCGGCGUUUUGCACGCAUCAAUGGCCUUUCUGCCACUUAUGAUCUCCAACAACACAACCCCAAAGCUAAAAAUGUCGUUUUUCGUGCUGAGUCUCUCUGGGGUGGUGUAACAGGGGUCCAAGUACCCUAUUGUCCCGGCGGGUUGACUCACCGAGUCAACCCCUCUCACCGCCAGUCCAAAAUCUCCCAACUUCGCAUUCCAACUUGAAUCAAACAAUAUGUUGGUGGGUUUGAUGUCUCUGUGAAUCACCACAGGCUUAGCUUGGUGAAGAAACUGCACCGCACGAGCGAUUUGCAGGGCGAUUUCAACGCGUUUGGGCCAUGUGGGUGGGGUUUCGUUGGAAUGAAGCAGGUCAUGGAGAGAGGCAUUGGGCAUGAACUCCAUCACAAUGAGUUUGUGGCUGUGAUCAUCAUCACCACUGGUGGUUCCUAGAAGAUUAACCACAUGAGGGUUUUCGGGUAGAGAGGAAAGAACUCGGAUUUCGUUUUGGAGUUUGGAGUUAUCGUGAAGAGAUUGAAGGCCCUGUGAUGGCUUCUUUACAGCGACCACUCUGUAGCUGUUGUUCUCUUUGAACUGAACAACGCCUUUGUACACCAUGCCAUGGCUUCCUUUCCCUACCACCCUUCUGGGGUUGAAGUUUUCUGUUGCUUUCACAACCUCUUCAUACUCAAACUCUUCCAUCGUUUCACUGUUUCUUCUUUCAAUGGUGUUUUCUUACAAGGAGUGGAAUAUCUACGACUAAAUGCAGAGAGGAAAAGAAAGAAAUAUUGAACAUGAGAUUGUUAGAAGACAAAAGUAAUGUUUUAAGAACACGAAAAAGGAUCUUCCCAAUAAGAUAAUUUAUUUUGUUUUUAGUAAGAUGAGGCUUUGAGGAGUUAAAACAACACCUUAAUAAUAUAUAACUGUUAAAGUGUAAGGUAUGGUUUAAUCAAUUUUACACUGUACACUUUUUACAGAGUACUUAUUUUAGUGUUUUAGGUCCAUAAACAAACACAAAUAACAAAAAAAUGAAAAACUGAGAUUUGAAGGAAGGAAUGUAAAAUGUACCUAUACAUCAGCAAUUUCACUUACUAUCAAGACCUGUCUUUGUGUUUGUGUUUCAAUAUGAAUAUGAAGAUGCAUUGAUUAGCUUUUUGUAGAACACAGAGGAAUAAAGGUGCUUUGGAGAGGUAAGAGAUAAUUAAAAUUAUGAUGGGAGAAUUAUUGAGAAAAGGAAAAGUUAAAGAAAAAGCUAAGAGUUUGUGGGAAGAAAAGGUAUCCUCUUUGGCAAAGGGACAGGGCUUAUUGGGUCCCCUUUUUCAAUUCUUUGGCUUCUUUAUUUCAACUUUUUUUAACUUUUUUCUCUCCCACUUUGCACAUUAGCUACCAUGUUAUGUUAUGUACUGUGAUUUCUGUUUUUGUCCACACAGUUACUGUUAUUUAUCAUAGGAAAAAGCAGUCAGAAUCCUUAGCUAAUUAUGUAUCCCAAAGACAUACCUUAACUUUUUAUAUCAAUCACUUAUGUAAAAGGAAAGCAAGGCAUCCAAGGAGAGAUUAGGAAUGUGUAAAGCAAAACAGAUUAUGCCAAACUCGUUUAUUUAAGAGCCAUUUAUCAUUUAUUGUGUCAAAUUAUCUUGUCAUGGAGACAUUAAAACACUUAGAUAACAUUCAGAAUUCACUUCUCCUACCCAAAUUUAUACAAUUUUUCUGAUGGAAGGUACUGAACAGAUGAUUUUAAUUAUCUGAUCUGGCAUAUAUAAGGAGAGGUUUCUGACUAUUUUUGGCAUUUCUGUUGUCUACGGAAGUGAUUUGAAGGGAAUAAUACUUUGACAAUAGGUCACCCAACACAACUUUUAAAUCCAACUUUGCUCUUGUUUUUUUUUUCAAAAAAAAUUCAUAGGAGCUUAGUGUCCCUUUUAACUACUGCAGAGGAGCUGGUGUUGGCGUUAUGGUGGAAGAAAUGUUUCACUCUUAGUUGCUGUGCACAUUGUUUUGAGAUAAUACGAAUACAUGAAUUUGGAAGGCAAUGUGAGUAUCUCCGAAUAUAAAAAUCGUGUAAUUUUAUUUUCAGUUUAAAGUUUCGAAUGCACAUGUUUGAAAGUGAAAUAUGAAUUUCGGAUACCUAUAUCCGGAUGAAUAUCCAUAAUGGUUUUUUGGGUUCCGAAUUGUUAUAUUCGGAAGGUUUAUUGGCUGCUGGGUGUUGGAUGCAUUUAAAUGUAACCUAGUCUCAUUUAAGGGUAUUAUAGUAAUUUUACAUGACCAUGGAUGCCAAUCUGAAAUAAUAUGGUGUAGGAGAAUCAGCCUAGGUCAGUUACAGUGUGCAUGACUUAUUGGGCCUGGUCCAAUUUUUCUUUCUGCAAUUUCAGCAAGGAUAAUUACUUUCUGCACCUAAUCAAAUUUGAACCCGCACCUAAUCAAAUAAAGUGACCCACCACAACUCAUUCCCUCCCAAUUAUAAAUUGGUAAAAAAAGAGAGUAAAAAGGUUUCAUUAGGGUCCAUGUAUCUUUUAAGAGGGUUAUCUUAUCUGUGUUACCUUUAUGUUGUUCAACAUUUAAGGACUUUUUGUCUUAGACUCUGAACAUGUUACACGUUUGAUAAGGACCAUUAUCCUCUUUGUCAGGAAGAAACAAAAACUGUAAUUGGGCUAGCAGACUUUGGCCCAAAUUGAUUUGGGCUACAUUCAUAAUGCAUUGAGAACUUUAAUUAAUUAAUUUGGGUAGAAUCCAUAAUUAUUUACAAUUUUAAGUUUUUGGAAUUUGGUAAUGUAGAAGAAGUAUGUGUGUUGGUGAGAGAAGAUAGGAACAAAAUAAAUGAAUGUGAAUGGUAGAGUAGACUUUCAAUACCUACCAUAUAUCAUACUAACUCAAUUAUUGCAAUACUUAAAUAUACUUACUUCUUCACUCCUUAAAAACACCAUAAAUUAAAUUCACCUUCCAAGGACUUGCUCUUUGAAUUGACUCCAAUUUUAAAAACUAAUACAAUUUAAUUAAGAUAAAAUCGUGUUAAAAUAAACUUUUUUAAUGGUAAAGCACUAAAUUUAUCAAUAACAAUUACUAAAAACAAAAAAAUUAGAUCCAUAAAUUCAAAUAUUUCCACCACCUGACCGUGUGAUAACUAGAAGCUAAAUACCUGGUCAGAGUCAACCAACACAACUGAAUUCCUUAUGUCUAAAUAGAAGAUUAACAAGACUAAUCAGUAGUAAACAUUAGGUAGUGGUAAAACAUUAGGUAAUUUCUUAAUUAUGAUCUAAACCUCUAAUCCGGUCCAAUAAUAAAAGAUUAAUGAUAAUUAUAUAAAUAAGUACAAAUUUUAAAAAUAAGAUACAUCAUCAUUCAAUAUAAUAAUAUCGAGUACCGAAUAUCGAAAUCUUACUUUAAUGUUAGAGUGCUUUUUGUAGAUAACAUUCUAACUUAGUGUUCACGAGAACGAUGAGAAGUAAUGGAGAGUAAGAAAAACUCGAAAAUUUUGAAAAAAAAAAGAAAGAGAGGUAAAACAACCAAUUGAAAACAAAAUAGUAAACAUGAUGGUUUGAAUAUUUAAAAUGAUAAAUGAAUUAAAAUUGUUUAGUUAUUGAAUAUUUUGAUUAGUUAAGAAGAUUAUGCAUGAAUUGUUUGUUCCAUGUAAGUGGGAAUAAUAGAGGAGGAGUGGGGUGGCCCACUUCCACACAUGAUAAUUCGUUUGCUUCAAUUCUAUAAUUCGCGAGUGAUUCACACGCUCUAUAUAUUCGCGUCCCCUGCAUUCCAUUGCUAUUCACGAUCACAUCAAAAUAUAAAAUACAAAUAAAAUAAUUAAAUCAGUAGUACUUUGUACACAUAUCUUUUAUUUUUUUAAGGCGUGUUAUAAUUUUAAAUUAAACAUUAUAUAUGUAUAUGGAAUGGGUACUUCAUUCUCUUCUAAUACGUAUUCUUGCAUUUUUAUACUCUUUACGGCAUCUUUUUAUAAACAAAUAAUUGAUGGAAUACAAUGGCACUAACAUUAGUUUCUUAUUAAAAAAAAGUACUUUUUUAUAAAUGAUAAAAUUUAUCUUUUAUUUGCAAAUUUUAAAUUCAAAAUAGUUGAGAGUAAAUAUGUAUUUUUGUAAUUUUAUUUUAUAAUUAAUAAUUGGUAUGAAAAUAUGUGAAGGUUUCAAAUAGAUAUUAUUUAACUAUUUGGAAACAUUUGUUUGAUUUAAUCGGAAGAAAUGAUAAUAUAUUUGUUCUCGAAAAGGGUUGAAACCAAGAGAACUAUUGAUUAUUUUUCGGUUGGUCUAUCUUUUCACUCCACUUUCUCGUGCUCCUUUCGUUUCUCUACUCCUCGUCAUCGUGAACUCCGAGUUUGGAUGGUACCUAUAAAAGACACUCUUAUGCUUAAGUGAGAUUUUGAUGUUUGGUACUCAGUGUUGUUAGUACUGUGUGAUGACGUACCUGAUUCUUAAAAUUUGUACCUAUUUAUAUUAUUAUCAUGAAUUCUUUGUUAUUGAACCAGAUUACGGAUAUGAGUCGUAAUUAAGAAUGUAUUGUCUAAUGUUUGAUCAUUGAUUAAUCUUAAAAAAAGGGAUGAUUUUGAUUGACUUUGAUUAAAUACUGAACUUUCAUCGGAAGAUGUAAAUUGUUAAUAAAACAUAUUUUGUCUUUAAAAAACAUAAGUGAGACAGGUACAUGGAUUAACCUUAAACUUAAAUUGAAUCCAUGAUGAGAAAAGACAAUUGAAGUAUGAGUAGGUCCUAUGCAAAAGUGUAAGCAGCAAAAUCUGAAAUGGGCCUCACCAAAAUCCCUUUUCAGUAUGAAUGGAUAAAUUUGAAAGACAUAGAAAAAUAUGAAAUAUAGAUGCAUUAACCAAGAACACAGCAAGAACAUCAUAGUAACUAAUAAAGAAAUGGCAAAAACAACAGAGAAAGGUGUGCAAAGCUGACGUUGCACAGAACAUACAUUUAUCCCCUCUAUACCAUGUACAGGGAGAAGACUCAAACUAUGAGAACUGAAAAGUUUCUCAAUUUUUGCAGCUUUUAUUUUAUUUUAUUUGACCCUUUGUUUCCUUGGAUCCAUGCACAUUUUCUUCACUUACUAUCUAACUUUGCCUCCCUAUAACUUUGAAAUUCUUUUACUUUCUAAACAAAUAAAUCGAAUCUAAACUAAAAAGAAUGACAUAGAGAAAAAAAUGCAAGAGAAUAUUUUCCCAACAUUCAAAACUUAGUUCAUAAGCUUUGUUUCAUGAAGUUUGGGAGUUGGAGUGCCAUAAAAUGUAUGAGUUAUUUGAAGAAGUAUUUUGCAGAAACUAUUAAGAAGUAGACUUUAAGUUCAACUUAAUCUCAUAAAAUCGACUCAUAAGAUGAGAUUUACAUCUACUUAUAUAUUAUGAAAUGUCUUAAUCUCUAGUUAGUGUGAGAUCUUCAACACAUCUUUCUCACACGCUGAGACUACCAACUCGUGCAUUACACUAUAUAUUAUGAAUGAUCCGAUAACGAUCUGAUAGCGAGUGACCUGAUAAGUCCAACAAAAAAUUACUAGUAGGAUAGACUCAUACCAUAUUAAAAAGUGAAAUUUAGGUAGAUAUAGGAAUUGUGUAGAAAAGUUGAAACUGGAUGUGUAAAAGUUGGUUUGAUUAGAUAUUCUUGCAUGGCUAUAUUUGGCAAAGAAAAGCUUGGUUAGUGGUAAGAUGAGAUUUAAAAAAGGAAAGGAAGUAGGAACAGAAAGAAAUAAAGAUUGGCACUGAAAUAGCACUGAUAGGACAUGGUAAACUUAUUUUUAGCAGAGGGCACAGAUUUAAAUAACACUAAUUUAAUGAUCCUCAUUCAAAUGCCUCAGAUUUCUCUGACACCAUCAUUUUUAAACCUCACGUAAUAUACAUUCACAUUUCACCACUCUUUUUUCAACUUCUUCCAAUUUCUAUCAGUUCUAUCAUGUGCAACAAAAUUGAACAAUAAUAAUAGAGCUGAAAUGGAGAAGUCUCUGUCAAAGGUGGUGUGAUGUAUGAACAGUAAUUUUUACUGUGAGUGUCCUCAUGCAGCAGGCACUACAGUAAAAUCAACACUGAUUUACCACCAUACCCUUCAACAGUGAAUUACAGAUUUGUUCAUUGUUUAUGUAUUAGUUGUGAUCUCAAUCAUGAUAAUGGCAGAUUUGUUGAAUUUAAUAGAGAUUAAAGGUGUGGUUAGUAGAUUUAAUUAUGUGAUUAUUAUCUGUACAAACUGAAAUACUAUAAUAAACUAAGAGGGUCCAGAUUGGAUUGUAAUUUUCUUUUUGUUUUGUUAAUGCAGUGAUUGGUUUUUGAACAAUUUUCUAAAUUUUGAUGCAGAAUAAUAUAGUGGCUGGAAAUAUAAAAAAGUAAAAGUGACAGAGACAGCAUCAAGUACUUUUUUCUAAGUUUGGUUACCAAAAUUGUGACAGGACAAAAUUGUACAUUUCAUUAAAAUACAACUCAAAGACUUGCACAAUUUUCUCUUAGUUUAUAUCAAUACAGAAAACUUUUCAUCCAAUUGUGAGAAUCAAAAGGGUACAACUUAUUUUAUUUCUCCAGCUGGAAAACAUUAUGGAAAGUUUUGAAAGAAGAAUUAGUCAAAAAAGUGUUGGUGGAAGGUUUUGUUUUCCCUUCUUUUUUACACUUUUUUUUUCUCCAGAUGUAGGAGUUAAUGGAAUAUUUACAUAGAAGGGUUUAGACGUAAACAUGGAAAUUAGGUAUACAUAAUACCAGAAUUAUACAAUGUAUAAGUAUAUGGAAAGUUGAAACAUUUGAAAUGAUUGCAUAACGGUCCUAACACGUGGCAUGUGAAAUCUAUGAAUUUUGAUUUACCCUAUUUAUAAAGGUUCAAACUAAUUGCACCCUACAUUUAUGCUAAUGUUCCAUUAUUAGUUAUCUUUCUUUCUUUUAAAGUUUUAUAUAGAGUUUGUGACCAUGUUAAUGGUUUUCACAUAAGUAUUAUUGAUUUUUUAAACCUGUUAAAUAUUGAACAAUCGAACAAUCGAGAAAGUUGAUAUGCUCGAACCAAAGGACUCUCUUAAUUCAAACACAGUUCGUAAAUCCACAGUUAAGCAUAGUUAAGUCGGUUUAAUUGUAAAUAAUGAUUAAGGUAUGAUGGGUCUCUCUUUUGAACCCACAAGCAGGCCCAUGAAAGCUGAAGCCCAUUCAAAAGGUAUAAAUAUCAAAAGAGACACGGGCGUCAAAGAUAAUUUUUUCUAUCUCGACUCACCUGCACAUUGUACUUGGACUAACUUGAUCGUCCAAGUGUCUUUGCAGGUUUCCUUCACUCAUCUCGAUGAAAAGAAUAAUCAAUCAGAGACCAUCGUGUCUGGAGACUGUGAAGACUAAAAGAAGGAGACUAAAGAAGUCAAUGUAGGAGGAAUCCGACUUGUAUGAAGAGAUAUGAAAAUAAGGUGCAUGAUUUGAUUUGAAUUAUUGGUGGAUUUGAAGGUGAAAUGGUUGUUGUAUGGUUUGAGAUUGUUGAGUGAUGUAUGUAGUAGGCUAAGACAUUUUAGUGAUAAAGGUUCCAGUUUUAGUUAGUGAAUAUGACAUGAGUGGAAGAUGAAGUUUAUUUUAGAUGGGAUUAAAAGAAUAUAAAGGUUGUUUGAGAAGUUGUAGCAUUUUGUGACGUUGAUGAAGGAGGGGCCAUUUCUGUCUUUCUCAAUCAUCCACUCAUCAAAAAAGUGGAGUGCCCAGUCACAUAACAGAUGCUUUUUCUCAUGCUCACCUCUGCCUGUGCUGGAUGGAGUAUUCUCUGUCCUAUUCUCUUCUCUAUUCUCUCCUGUAUUCUACCGUAUUCUGUUGUGUAUAUUGUAUGAUAUUGUACAUACAGACUAUAGCACAUUAACCAUCUCACCCACCCUGAACUCGUAUUUACUCUUUUUUCUAUUGUUUGUUGUGUUGCAAAAGAGUUAUGAACAGUGAAUGUGAUUUUGUGGUGAAUGAAAGGUUUGAAGGAGUGAAGAAACCCCAUUUGUUUUACGAGACCCCACGAGUGGCCUUUGUUUCUUCUCUCUCUCUCUGAGAACACAGCACAGAGCACAGAACACAGAGAGGAAGACAAGAGUCAAUGAAAACCCCACAAACUGAGAGUCUUAGUUGGUCCAAACACUCUUCAGAUUUAAAAACUCUUUCUCUUUCUUUCUCUCUCUGAAAAAGUUGAUCUUUCUGUGUCUAUCUAAAAAGGGAAGAAGAAGAGAGAAUGGAGUUGGAAGAGGAAAACAAAACAUGAUUCAUCAUCUCAUCCCAUUCCAUUCCAUUCCAUUACCAUCAAACAAAAAACAUACAAAAUAAAAAAAUAAACACAACAAGGUAAGACCCUUCCCCACCAAAUGGAACUAUCAGAUUUGCAAAACAACAAGCAGAACACCACCACCAACACCAACAACAGCACCAACACAAAAACAAACACAGUACGAGGUGGUGCUGCUGCUGGUGGUGCUGGUGGUGGUGGUGCCCAUCCCAACCAUCACCACCAACAAUCCUCUUCUUCCCAUCUUCAGCUCCCUUUUGAUGCCAGGACAAACCCUUCAUCCACCUUCCUCUCUUCCUCCACCUCUUCUUCUUCCACCAAUUCUUCCUCCUCUUCCUCCUCCGCCUCCGCCUCUUCCCACAUCAUCGACGCUUCCCUAGCCAUCGCCACCAUAUCUGAUGAUUCCGCCAACAAGACCCAACAGCUCUCCACCGCCGCCGCCGCCGCCUCCCCCGCCGCCAACCCUCCCAAGCGAUCUACCAAGGACAGGCAUACCAAAGUCGACGGCCGCGGCCGCAGAAUUCGAAUGCCCGCCACCUGCGCCGCCAGGGUUUUCCAAUUGACCAGAGAAUUGGGCCACAAGUCCGACGGCGAGACCAUCGAGUGGCUCCUCCAGCAGGCCGAGCCCGCCAUCAUCGCCGCCACCGGAACCGGCACCAUCCCCGCUAAUUUCUCCACGCUCAACGUCUCGUUCCGCAGCAGCGGCUCCACGCUGUCGGCGCCGCCGUCGAAGUCCGCCCCGCACACCUUCCACGGCGCGCUCGCACUCGCUCACCACCCUUACGAGGAGGCCUUUCAACACACCGCUUUGCUUGGCUUCCACGCUCACGCUCACCAGCAGCACCAGCAGCACCAGCUUCUUUCCGCAGAUCAAAUCGCGGAAGCGCUUCCCAGCGGUGGCGGCGACUCCGGCGACGGCUAUCUCAGGAAACGCUACCGCGAAGAUCUGUUCAAAGACGAUAACAUUAACACGCAAUCACAGAACGAGAGCGGCGACGGUUCUUCGCCGAAAACUCCGAACCUACAGCUACCGAAGCAGCAGGCUCAGCAGCAAACCGAAGCUGGUCCUGGGCUUCUCAGGCCCACGAAUUUGCUACCCGCGACAGCGAUGUGGGCCGUGGCACCCGCUCCCGCAAGCGGGCCUCCCGGCAGCACAAUUUGGAUGCUUCCGGUAACCGCGGCUUCUUCUGCUUCUGCAGCAGCUGUAGCUGCCGCUUCAGCUUCUGCUUCUUCUGGUGGUGGUGGAUCCACUGCGAGUUCGGAGACUCCGAUGUGGCCUUUUCCUCAGAGUGGUUUCAUGCCAAGGUUCAAUCUUCCGAGUGCCCUUGAAUUCCAAGGCGCACGUGGGGGUUCUCUGCAACUGGGGUCAAUGUUAAUGCCGCAGCAACCUUCUCAACAUCUGGGUCUCGCCAUGUCCGAUUCCAACUUCGGCAUGUUGGCUGCGCUCAAUGCUUACACCAGACCUGGUUUCAAUAUUAAUUCUGACAAUCAUCAUCACCAUCAUCACCAUCAUCAUCCCUUGGACCAUCAAAAUCAACAUCAACAUCAACAUCAACCUCAACCUAGUGAGAGUGGAGAAGAUGAUCCUAAUAGCUCCCAGUGAACUCUCAAAUUGGUUAGUUGGUUUCGUUUUCAUCUGUAGAUUCUGUGGCUGUAAAUAUGUCAAAAUUUCUAUAUAUAUUGUAUUUUUAAGUUGUAAUUUGAGGAGGAGGAGCUACAGUUUGAUUAUUGGAUUUCUGUUUCCCUUUUCUUUUCUUGCAGAUUGGAAGUUGAGUUGAAUGAAUUUGUGAUAAGUAAUGCUUUUGAAAAAUCCAUGGAUGCAUGCUAGCUCAUGCUCAUCACAGUUGAGUAGAUAAUUAGAUUAUGUUCUCUGAUUAUGCUUUUUUAUUUAUUAUUUACAUUUUUUUGCACUUCUUUGUUUUGUUUUGGAGAUCUUGGUAUGUUUGGUUUUGGUCCAAAGGGACUCAGACACAGAGAGAGUUUGUAUAGGAGGAAAUUUGUCUUGCUGUUUUUGUGUACUUUAUUUGCUUCUUCUCUUUUCUUUCUAUGUAUGACACCAUGAAAUCAAAUUAAAACAAAGGAAUUUAAAGGGAAAGAUUUGCUUGCCUUCCUUCCAUGCUCCUCAUAUAUGUUUUCUUUCUUGUUUCCUUUUAUAAUUCAAAUAUUUUCUACUUAUAAAAUGACAUAUACUUGUCUGGGUGAAGUUAUUAAAUGAAUUCAUUUGAAGACUUUGUGUUCCUCUUACAGCAGGAGAGUGCAUAAAUAAAGUGUGUUUGGCAUUGUAAGAUAAAUUAUUUUUCAGUAAAAUUGUAAAAUAAUUAGAAUGGCAGGAGACACUAAGCAAAGUAGGAUUGUCAGGAAAAAAAGGAGUGUGAGCCCAAAAUAUAUAAAUAGUAAUUCUUGGUAGCUUCAGUGUACAAAUCUCAGUUACAUACUUAUGUGUGCCUUUGAAGAAAAACUUCAGGGGGAUGUCAGAAGAUGGAAGGCAUUAAUUUCCUCCACUCUUCUUCUCACACUAUCAAUUUUUUUCUAAGAAUUUUAAAAUCAAAAUCAUCUGUUUUAUGGUAUGUGAUGUCAGAAAAUGAAAAAAAGAUACUGAUAGAAGAGCUGUGAUAUUGGUUUAUUGUGCAUAGGUUUAGGAAGUGAGAGGUUGGUUUGACAUUGAUGAUGGUAUGAUAUUUAAACAACUGGUUAUGCAAAGAUGAUGAAAAAGGUGGUGGUAAGAGUGUGUGAAAGGAGUGGGAAAAUGGGAAAGUUGAAGAUUGAAUGAAUAAUAGAGAUGGGGAAAGGACAAAAGGAAGAGAAAGAGAAAGAGAAAUGAGGGAUGCAUACAUAAUGAACAAAGCAGGACGGCAAGGAAAAUGACUUUGGUGUUGACUUUAACAGUCAAUUUCAGAUUACUAGCCUCUGUUCAUUGCUCAAUCAUUCUCUCUUUCUUAUUUUUCCAUUUUCAUCACCUCACACUUUUAACCAUUCACCCUUAUUUCCUAUGCACACAACACUCAUUCUUUGGAUCCCACUUUCUUAUUUCUAUACUUCCAUUCCAAUUUUCAUACUAUUUUCAAUCUCACAACCUAUUUUCCAGGGAGAGAGAGAGAUCAUUGAUUACUCUAACUUUAAAAGGAAGUUGUGGACACUCAAUAAUGUUAGUUUUGGAAUUGUAUAACAUUCAAAACUUGGAAAUGGGUAAGUUAUAAAGAUGUAUGCUAUGGUGGUCUAUAAUGAAACCAGAUCUCCCAUUCAUCUAUGAUUCAGCUAUGAUGCUACCUCCAUCUAUGUUGUUUUAGGACACCCCAAAUAAAAUGAAUGCUGGUAUAUAUAUAUAUAUAUAUGCAUCAAUAAACUAAAAGAAAAGUGAUACAUAGAUGAAUCAUAAGAUGUUUUAGUCAUUUCCUAACAUGUGGAUAUGGCAUAUUAUGAUUGUGAUUCAGGAGGGAAACACACCAUAGGAUACCCCUAUCUUUCUACUUUCUUAGCAGACAAAACUAAACUUUCACUCACUUUACAGUAAAAUUUACCUUUUUUUAUCAAAAUAAGAUUAAAAAAGUUGGUGGGUUGUUAUCUUUCUCACCUUGGCAUGAAUCCAGCUUUCAAAAGCUAUGAAAUUGGGUAUAAUAUAUUAUAGUGGGGUAGUGCUAAAUAGAAGGGUUUUAGUAGGACUAUUAUUGAUAAUGAAAAAGCACAAGUUUUGACCUUAGGAUUAAACAAAUAUUUAGCCUUUAAUUAUUUGGAUAUUGGAAGAUGUGUUUUGGGGUUUUUCACUUUAUGUGUUUAAGGAAAGGACAUGAGGAAUGAUGAGAGAGAGAGAGAGAGAAAGGAUUGAUUGAAGAAAUGGACGGCCAGGAUGGACUGUAGUGACACGUGUACAGUGCAGAUCCGUCCAUCCAUCCAUCAAGUUGUAUUAAGUAUCUGGUAGGGACCACCUCACCGAAUCAUAAUAAUAAUAAUGCAAUGAAAAUAAAGUGCCACGCGCUUCACGUGCUCCAAUCAUAUGGCUCCCAAGUGCGGGUUUGGUUUGGAGCAAAGCAAGUGUGAUUUCUCAACAGUGGCGCGCGUGGUCGUGAAACUCAUGGGACAAUGAUUCUCUUCUAGCACUCUUCCACUGCUUUUAUGUUUUUUCUGCUGAACACUUUCCCACAGCAUAACAUGUCGAAUAAAAUAAUACAAAUUAUAUAAAAAAAAAUUAAUAUAAAAAUCAAAUAUGUCAGUAACAAUUUUUUAUUUAAUGAAAUUUAUUGAAAUACAAAUUCUUGUUAAUAAUUUAAUAAAUGUGGAAAGGUUAUUACAGAGUUUGUCCUUAACACUUAUUUCUCUGAGAGAGUGAGGGCUAAAUAAAUUUAUUGUAAAAAAUGCAUUAGAUAUAAUAUAUUAAUUAUAAAAUAUAAUCCAUAAACGUAAGUACAAGUAAUAAGUCUGUUUUUAUUUUUAAAUAUUUUAAAAACAAAAGAAAGUAAAUAAUUAAUUAUUUCAACUACGCUGUUUUUUGACGUUGAAUUGUGUUGUCCCUAACUUUUAACAAAUUCUCUCAAUCAAUAAAAGAAAAUAUUAAAAAAUUAACAUAUUUAAUUUUUUAUUUUCUAAGUAUACAUAAUAAUUAUUAAAAAUUAUGUUUUAUUUUAAGUUAUUUAAAAAAAAAAACUCUACAUGCACUAUCCUAUGCAACAUUUUAAUUAUUAUUUACUUGAAAAAUUUAUUUUCUGUGAAGUCAAGCACUCUUCCAAUCUUAAAAUAAACAAAUUAUUUUUAAUAAAUAAAAUUGAUUUUUUUAUAUUUUAAUCAAGUGACAUACACUUAUUUUAUUUUAUUUAAAAGUGUAAUAUUCACAAAACUUAAUGAAAGAAAUGAAAAAAUUUAGAAAAAUUAAAGUAGGAUACAAUUUGUUUUUCUAUAACGAAUAUGUUUUUAAUUUAUUGAGUAAAACACUAACCAUAUUGAGUUUUCACAUAUGCUAAAAAUUGAAUACAAAAUCUCAAUUUCAAACAGGAGAACAAAUUUUCUAUAAAUUAAAUCAAUCAAUUUUUUUGUUCGUGAAUAAGUCUUUAAGUUUUAUAUUCAAAAUUUUAAUAUUAAUUUGGCCAUUUACUAAAAACAGAAGAAGAUAAACGUCAUCAAUUAAAAACAUAAAAAUGAUAAAUGUUGAUUUAAAAACAGGAGAAUGUAGAGGGUUAUUCUGAUAAAAAAAAAUAUGUAUGUAUGUUAAAAACAAUGGAGAAGCUAAAUAUAUAUAUAUAUAUAUAUAUAUAUAUAUAUAUAUAUGUGUGUGUGUGUAUAUAUGUAUGUGUAUAUAUAUGUAUGUUAUAUGUAUGUGUAUAUAUAUGUAUGUUAUAUGUAUGUGUAUAUAUACUGCUUGAAGAAAAAGAACUGAAACCCUGGCAUUAGAUGAAGGAGAAUUUGAAAGAGUAGCAUCCCAUCAGUGCUUCAAAGAUAUAUGCACACUUCAAAUUUGAAUGACCAUGUCACUUUAAAUACAGCAUGAUUUGUAUGAAAUGUUUAGGAAGGAGUAGAAUCCUACAAUAUACAGUAAUUUUCUGUGUAAUGUGGUCCACUUUGCUGAUUUUUAUCUGCCAGUGGUUAGUGACUUAACUCUCUGCGUCUGAAUUCUCAAGUCACGUGUGCAACCUAUCGCAUCAGUUACAUAAUAUUUGUCCUGCAGCAAUAAACAGCACACAGAUAUAGCAAACCAAACAAAUUGAUCAACUUUUAGCAGAAGUGAAAGUGGAAGGUGGUGAGGAGUUGCUCAUAUGCUGAAUAACUAUUUGCACAGUAAAGUAUAAAAUGAAUACAGGCUUUGAUGACAAAACCAGUUUGUGUUCUCACUUGUCCUCACCAAUGCCAGAAUAACUGACCAUGACAACCUUAUUGUUCUUUUCUGUCUUGCACCUGGUCCCCUUUUUCCAGGGGUAAAAGAGAUAACAUCCACAACCUGCGCAUAUACCAUUAUACCAAUCAGCUUGGCUUAAAUGACAAUACAUUAUGCAGGUUCACCAGGCAUUAACUCGUUACCAGAAGUUUUGGUUGAUCAAAUAGUGAUUCAUUGAUUUCAUAAUGUCCCUCAUACUAAUAAAAAAAAAGACACUCUGGAUAAAGGAUAAAGUACCAGAAAUAAGUUGAGCAUCAGAAAACAUUAGUCAUCACAAUCCCAAUACCCUUAACAGUGUCUUAAGUCCUAACUUCACCACAGAAAGAGAUAACAGACGUACACAAAUUUUUACUCCCCAAGUUUAGUGCUUUUAUAUGACAAAUGAGAUCAACUGGUUAUGAAACUUGAUCAUCCGCUAGAAUAACACAGAACCAUUUAGAACCAUAACAAUAUAACCUUCAAGGUUAUCAAACUCUAGGGUUAACUCGUAAACCCUUACGAGUUUAAGGGUCAGCGGAGGGUUGACGAGUCGACUCGGAAGUAAACUCGUUUUUUAGUAAACUCGGAGUUGACUCGGUCAAACUCGGUCAAACUCGCGAGUUUAAGGCCGAGUCACCGAGUUGCGAAAAAAUGGCCCAAAACAGUGUGUUCCAUUGUGAUUAGGGUUUCUUUCACGCUCACGGUGCCAUCUUCCUCACUGCCGUCAAGCCUCCUCGUUGCAGCGCACUGUGCCGCUCGUCGCACCUCGCCGCGAAUCGUCGUCGUACCUCGCCGCACAUCGUCGUCGCACCUCCUGCUGCUCUUCGCAACUCGCCGCGCAUGUACAUGUUGUUGCUGCGGUGGAUUUUUAGGGUUGGGACAGAUUGGGUUUGGGUUUAGGGUUAGGGUUGUUUAAAUUAGGUUUGGACUUUUUAAAUUGGGCUGGGUUUUUCAAUUUGGCUUGGGGCAGAUUGGAUUUUUUUAAAACAUUUAAUGGAGGCAUUAGAUGAAUGAGACUUUUAACCUCGAUAACAUUUGUAUUGCUUUAGUUUUUGUUGGUGUAUGAACUUAUUUAUUUCAAUAUUAUGGAAAUUGUAUCAUGAAUUAUUUUUUUGUUAAAUUUUUUAUGUAAAGUAGACUCUUACGAGUCUACGAGUCGGGUUUACGAGUCGAGUUUACUGGACUCCCACGAGUCUAAGUAGACUCUCGAGUCUGAUAACCUUGAUAACCUUAGACAAUUCCUUAGAUAAAUAAUAACCACAAUUUUAAUAGAGUUCCAAACAAUUCGACUAGCACCAUUUUCCAUCUAUAGCACACUGAAGAUUUCUAUCAAAAAAUAAUAUAUACUUUUAACAUAUAUUUUCAACUGAAAAAUCCAUGUAUUUAGAGGCAGCAACAAAGAAGAGGGGAAGGAAAUGUAUGGUUACUAACAAGAAUUUGGCAACCUCAAAUUGGUCAAAUUAACACAGAAAAAUGCAAUUUUCAUCAUCAUUGAAACAACUAGCACUUACCAGAGCAAGUAGUGCCCUUAAUUAUCAUAUAAAAUCAUUAGGCAAUGUUCACCUUUUGGGUCUACUUGCCUAGUAGCUAAGUUUAGUAAUGCAAUGUCUAGAACAAAGGGAUAAGCAUUGAAGAACUUACGACACUUUGUCUGCAACAUAAAAUAUUGGAAGUCUUUCCACUCCAGCAGCUCUCCACUUGUGUUUUUCGAAGGAUAUUUCUUGCUCAGACUCUGACCCAGUUGCAGUUAGAACAAACUGAAAUAUACAAUGUAUGUUUCUAGUUCACUAUAUAGUUUAUUCAUGAUAUAGUUAACAUGAUAUUUUAGUUUUGAAUAUCAAAAGGAAAUGCAAAAUGCAUAAAAAAGUGCAGGAUAAAGAACGAACUAGAAGGGAAAUAAACAACAUAAUUACCAUACCAGUGGGAAAAGUAUAGCCAUAAUCCCAUAACUAACUAGGGGAGAGAAAAAGAAUAUGGCCAAAACACAUGGGCUCCCUGCAGGGACAUAAAUUACAUAUUAACUCAAACAUCAUACGAAUCAUAAGAUAAAGUACUGGACCAUAUAUAAUACAAAAAAAUUGUUCCAAUGUAGUUCAUCAUUCUUCAAGAUGAUAGAAUUAAGAAUGAAUUUUAAACUUCAACAGCUAAGGAGACAAUUUCAAUAUGAAUUAUAUGGAUUGUGCUUACUAACUUCCCACACCACAUUGUUGAAAUUCUCCAAACCUCAUCCAUACUCCCUUAGUCAUCAUCCUUCCACCAACAACCAAUAACUUUGUCACUUACACGUGUUACAGAAACUGAUUAUGAUUUAUCUUUUACUAGAAAACACAAAAAAGGAACUGUUCUUCCUCCUAAGCUUAGUAUUAUAAGCUGUUUUUUAUCCCAUAAAAUCAAUCAAAGGAAAUCCUCAUGAUCUAACAUAUGAAAUUCUCUAGCUAAGAUGAUUUGUUAAAUUCUCACAAUUACUGCCAGUUGACUUCAAGUAUACUAACCAAAACCAGCAAAAAAUGGCCAGUAAGACUCAAAGUAGUCCAGCCUUCUGUCGAGAGCCACUUCAUUGAAGUUCCAUUUGUACCUAUUAAAAAAACAUAUUUAAUGAGCCGUGAUUGAAAGAGGUCAAUUAAUAAAGACAUCAAGUAAUAGAUGAAAUUAUGGACCACAUACUCGAAGCAGUAAUAUGCAUACAUCCAGGAAAGGAGUAAAAAAUUAAUCAGCUUGCCUAUGUAUGGUACAAAACCUGUUGCAUAGACCUGCAUUUAACAUCAAAAAUAGCAUAUAUAAGGAUAACACCAAGGACAAUCGAUUUUACUGCAUAUCAAGGCAUGUAUAUAUAUAUAUAUAUAUAUAUAUUAUCCUAUACUCAAGGAAACUGAAAUUGUAAUGAUUUUAAUACCUCAAGAAAAAAAACACUCAAAAGGAGUAUCGAGUACACCUGCUGUCCUAUUCCAAUCAUGACCCUGAAUUAAGUAAACACAGUAGCUGACCUUUACACCAUUUACCCCGAAAAGAACAGAUAUCAAAUAGAAAAUAAGAAAAAACAUUGCUCUAUGAAGUAACUAUUAAUUAGAACUUUACCCUCCCAGACCAGAGGGUCCUUUUACAUUUUGUACAGUUGGUGAGUUGUUUUGGCUUGAGCCUUUCUCUACAGUAAGCUUAGAUCUUCCCAUUGCAGCAUACCCAUACUUGGCAAUGUCAUUGUACCUAAAAACAUUCUAUUAGCAAUUCAGAUAGGAAUAAAUCCCAUCUAUCUUAGGGAGACUGGUAUAUUCAGCACAGCAAGAAACAGGAAAAAACAAAUAUAAAAACAAGAGCAAGAGCUUCCAACUGUGGGGAAACCUCCUAGCCUUGCAAAUUUUUCCUCUAGACAUCCAACCUAAUGGAUUUCCACUCUAGUUUGAUAGACAAUGACUUGCAAAGGAGUAAACAUGAAGAAGGAUGACAAACCACACGAAAUGAGUAAUGUUUGAUUCACAUGCCGGGCCAUGUCGGGCACACGGAAAUGCCAUCUCAGAAAUAUGUGCAUCUUAGGUUCCUGAUGCUACUCGUCAAGGAACUUAAUUUGUCCAAAUGAUCAUUCAACCAAACUAUUAGUUCCUUCAAUUUCAAGCCACAAUUUUGCAACAAUGUCUAUUGAUUGGAGAGUGGAUUUAAUAGCCACCACAUAAGCCUCAAUCAAGUCAAUGGCAUCAAUUCUAUGGAUAGCCAUGCAAGUGAUUUACAUCUUACCACAAACCUCUAGAUGAAAGCACCUAGUAAUGAAGAAACCUCCAAUUGAAGCUUCGGGUAGAAAACUCUAAAACAACCUCAUCCCUUCUACAUGAUCACUCUUCCAUAUAAGAACUUCAUAAACUAUAAUUUCCGACAAGAAUUCCAUCCCAGCACUGAUUUUGGAUAAGCAAUUUAUAAUAUUUAUUUGGGAGGAUUGUAUAUAUGGAUAUAGGAUGGGAUUGAAAGGCUAUAAUAUUUCUACUUUUUGGUGUUGUUUUCGUCUUUGGAGAAUAUCUACUCCCUCUAAAAGCACUUUGUUUAUUUUACCUGGUUGAUGAAAAUUCCAUCACAUAUACAAAUAUGAAAAAACUUGACCACGAACACAAACAACAAAGGGCAACCCAACAUAUAGAACAUGAAAAUAAAGACGCAAGACAGAUGAUUACAAAGAAAACAUUACCAAAUUGUGCUAAGAACUAUGCUGAACACGUAUAAUGGGUAAAACCAGAGAACCUGCAGGGAACAAAAAGAAGGACAAUCUCAACAGAUUAAAUGGAAAAACAAUUCAAUUGCACAGUUUUUUCUUGUGCAAACUAGAUACAUAAAAAUAUCUAAAAUGCAUUGCAUCAAAAGCAAAUGAAAAAAUCCUAUCAUGAAUUAUGCAACUAGCAUUUCAAACAUUGACUUUUGAAAUUUCAUAUUUCCAUUAGACCUUCCACGCUUUUCUCAUCAAUAGAUUCUGCAAAUGUUAGUUUGGCAAUUAUGUAAACAUUCAAGGCAAGGCUUGUCAAAGUUGCAUUAGUUCAGGAUAAUCAGUAGAUCUUUCAAAUAAUAUAAAUACUGAAAACUGAAAAUUCAUGCGUGUUAUAAUGGAAAACAAAAUCAACUUGGAAAGAAACACAACAAAGUACUUUGUAUGGUAAAAUGUGCACUUUAAAAAGAGUAUAUUUCAUACUUACAUAACAGAGCUGAAUGAGUGCAAGACGUAAGAAAGAAUAAAAUUUCAAAGUGCCACCUAAGUCACACAGUUCAUGAGAAACAAACUGUGAGCAUUGACCAGGUAAUAUCCACCACAAUGCAGGGAUCACAACCGACUUUAGGGCGAAUAUACUGCACAAAAAUGUAAAGAUUUUCAAAUUAUUAUACAAGUAGAAUUUAGAUUCGUAACUUGUGCAGGACAAUCCAUAGAUGACAAAAAGAUGCAGGUAUCAAUCCAUAAAUGUCAAUCAGAUUUAUUCCACUCAUUAUAUCAAAAGUAUACAUAAUCCAAUUCUUUGCAGCAAAUUCUUAUUCAAUGUGUUAAAAUAAAUUGAAGCUAGUUCAAUUAUUUCAAAGAGCAAAGCAGUUUUAAGAGACAAACAGAUCUCCUUUUGCAGACCUUAGCCCCUCCAAAACCCACUCAGCCGAGCACAAACAGCUAGCUUACCAACAACUCAAAUUGAGACGUAUAUUCCAGGGAAUUGGAGAAAAAGAUUGAUUUUGUUGAAAGGCUGAUAUCAAAAGGAUUGUCAAUCAAAUAUUUCAGUUCCCAAAAUUCGGUGUGCCCAAUUAAUGCCUAUUUGAAAAUAUCAUAAACAACAUAUGAACAGACAGAGUGGAAUGAUAAACUCUAACUAUGUAAUCCUCAAAGCCUGAAAGCACCAUGAACUCUACGGUUGAGAAGUGAAUGAAAAACAGAUAUUUUUAAUUUUUCACACUGAAUAAUAUAUUUUUGUGAAAACUGCUGAAGACUCAAUCAAGAGGAGCAAAAUGGUACUCACACAACACCAGUAUAUAAAUGUUUGACAACCAUUUUCCAUAACAAAGGAGACUAAAAACUUAAAAUUGAAGUAAAUUGUUGAGUCCAACCCUCAAAACUCUC